This 63581-nucleotide long non-coding RNA is filed under the name Setaria italica (foxtail millet). RNAcentral's name for it is "long non-coding RNA (SITA_LNC006221)". The record is from RNAcentral. Lineage: Eukaryota; Viridiplantae; Streptophyta; Magnoliopsida; Poales; Poaceae.
CAUGCUCACGUCCCCUUCCUCCGGGCAUCACUACACGGCGCCCUCAUCAUCCGGCCAAGAAAUGGGGCGAGCUCAUAUCCAUUUCCAAAGCCAGACAGGGAGGUCCCGAUCAUAAUAGGUUCGUGAAUUAGUUGCAUCAUAUUCUCUAGCUGUGUUAGGAGAAUAGAAAGAAAUUGUACCUGUUUUUUAUUGCUCUUUGGAAAAUAGAAGAAUGGACUGUUCCUAUUUGAAUUGACCUGCCUUUGACUUCCGCAACGGACUAUUGGCAGCUAGACCUUGCACAGGCGGCAAGGAGGAUGAUGCAUGGUUUCUUGUUUUCUUUCGCCAAUGCUUCCACAAUCAAUGGCUAGCUUGGAGAUAUCUUCAAUUGCUCUGGUAAGAAAUUACAGCAUUGAUGUCCGUGUCAACGACAUAUUCCUUCUUUUCUGAAAAAAGUGUCUGCAUGAAGUCGAGUCUGAAGGUGUGCCGGAAGAUAGCUACCACUGGUGGAAAACUAGCCUUUAGUUCCGGUUGGUAGGGAGCAAAUCUCCCGAAAAUCCAUCCGGGAUAAAACAAUCAAGACAAAAGGGGAUCUUUAGUCCCGGGUCUUUUAACCGUGAGUAAAGCCCCUCUUUAGUCCCGGUUGGUAAAACCAACCAGGACUAAAGGGCCUGCCAUGCCAGGCGUAGGACAGGGCCCUUUAGUCCCGUUUAGCUCCGGUUGGGUUUUCCAACCGGGACUAAAGUCCUGCUUGAAAUUUCAGGCGCGCACCAUGUAGGUGCCUGCAUGGUCCUUGUAAUUUCAUGCAUCUCUACGUACCCCUUUACUUAACCUUUAGUAGUUGAGAUUUUUUUUAUAAUGAAAUCAAACUAGUAUUUAUACAAUUACUAUAUAUAUAAUUCUUAGUAUAUAUAUACAAUUCUAGCAUAGUAUACAAAUCUUAGCGUAUUAUACAAAUCAAACUAUCUACAAUCUUCCCAUCGAGGUGUUGCUCGGAGCGUCUAAAUUUCGUCCAUCGUAAUAAAAUUCUCCUUGUGGAUUUACCACCUCGUCCACCAUGAAUCCAAUGAGACCUUCACAUAUUGCCGCUACUCUUUACUUCUUCAAGAGUCCAUGUUAAAUAUUUAACAUUUAUAAUUUGGAAACAUGUGAAUUUUACACAAAUAAUUAAAUAUAAGGAGGUAGAAAAUAAUUAACUAUUUAUAGUUUUAUUUUAUGUACUUUAUUGUUGUGCGGCAACGUCUUUCCCUUCGGUCCCGCAAAACUAUGCAUGUGCUCAGAGACGUAGUAGCCACAUAGAUUAUUCCCAGGUUCCUAUCUUAUGCACUUGAGUGGGAAAAAAAUAAGUUAUGAAAUAUUCGUGUUAUAGAAUGUACAAAAUAUGCAGACUUCAUACAUACCGGGAAGUCUGUGUUCCAUGUAAGUUUUUCUUUGAAUGGACCUUUGUGUGUCCUGAUGAAUUGUCUCCAUGCGCUACGAAUUAAAAUAAUGAAUGAUAUAGUGUUAGGUGAAAAUUUAGGAAACAAAUUUUUACAUAGAGAUAAAGGUCUAGAAUUAUUACAAGCCCAGCAUGUCUUGCAUGUCUUGGUACUUCAUCGAAUCUUUCCUCAACGAAUCGAAGACAGUAACGUGGCUUAUUUCAAGGUCAAUUAUAAUAAGGAUCCAGUGGUAGCUGCGUACGUAAAUGUUCAUAUAUAUUAGAGCUAACUAACAUUAAUCAGGUAAGGAAAAAGAAAACGAAAGUAGACGGUAGACACACACUUACUUGAAGUUGUAUGGAAGUAGUAUGAAAUCCUUGAAUUUUUGUUUGUCUAGAAAAUUGUAUACUUUCACUAAGGUUUUGUCCGGCGCAUCCUGUACCUAUUUUUGGUUAACUAUGGAUGGAUCCAAGAAGCCAACAUGGAGGUAUGCUUCUUGUCGGCACGUCUGAAUUAGCAUCCUACAUAAAAUGGAAGAUGAAGUUAGUACGGUGACGCAUGCACAAAAAAUAAUGAUAUGAGCUAAAAUUUACAUCUAGAUAAAUGGACACUUAUAGAACCCAGGCGCUGAUCAGAGAGACGUCCAGGGCAUCAUGAUGGUACACUUCGUAUAUAUCCUUGAAUUCUAGCCACAGAACUUUCUCGCCUUCGCUAUAAAAACCUAUCAGUUUUACCUUCAGGCUGAACAUCUCCCUUGAGUUGGCGGACACCUUCUUAUACCAUUGAUGGAAUUCGUACAUCUUUGUUGAUAGCUUCAGUACCAACUCAGGCCUUACCAGAGACUUGCCUAGCUCAAAGGUCCAUCUCGGUUCAACUGGCAGUGCAGCUGGCAACUCUACUUGCCCUAGACAUUCAUUAAGUCCUAUACCUGUUUCUUCCAUGAAUUGCAAUACUUGUGCUUGUUGAUCCAAGGGCAUUGCUGCUAUCUUUUUAGCGUCUUUUUCUGGUAGAUGCCCGAGGUCGGGGACAACACCACUGGAAGAUGACUUUCCUUUUCUUUUUUUCCUCACAUCAGUCUUGACUAACGCCCGUUCGUAGUUCGAUAGUGGUGGUAUCCUCUUCUUGGCUCCUUCUUGAAUCCUGAUAAAAAAAUUUAAUUCUCUUCGAUUUACUCAUGGUGGCUCCAUCUCCCUUGCUUUUUUUUCUUCAGCCUGUUUCUUAAAACCACUCCCUAGCCUCUGCUUGGAUUUCAGCCCAGUGUUCCGCAUGAGUCAUUACCUCCUAGGGUUCCUCAUGAGUCACUUUAGGCUCCUUUGUUUUCUUCUUUUUGUGUCUUGGCUUGGGAGGCGGUGGUCGCGACUUCUUAAGUGGUGCUGCAGGUUCCUUGCUUGGGGCUACUCUUAGUCCUGGCGGCGGUGAUCGGGGAGGGGUGUUGUUGUCGUCAUCAUCACUCCCACCACCAUGAUGUGGUGGAGAUGGAGACCUUGAUCGAGCAGGAAGCGAUGGUCCUGGAGCAGGUUGUGCUGGAGAUGACGGUCUUGAACUUUCAGGAGAUGGUCACUGAUGGGGAUCUGCAGGGAGCGAUCUUGAGCUCUAAGGAGAUGGCUCCGUGCCAUGGAUGAUGAUGUAGUGUUUGCGCCAUAGAAUGAUCCCGUGAAGCGCAUCUCCUAGUGUCCUUUCCCCGUCGCCUCCCGGGAGGUCGAGCUUUGGGCCUUCAUAUUGGCUAUCAGCGAGCUGCUCUAGGCCGACUCUAGCAUAGCCAGGUGAAAUCUCCAUGCCAUGGCUGGUUUGCCCUACCAGGAUUAGUAAGGCAUUCCCGUAUGCCACCUGUACACAUAGCAGAAAUAAAGAAGUUAUUAAACUUUGAUCCUGAGGUGUGGAUCGUUUGAGAAGAUUGCAUAAAUAUUAUGUAUAAGUAUACCUUAAUGGUGAGGUUGCCGACUGGUGUAUGCAGCUCACAUGAGGUGCAUUGCAUGAUAGCAUCCACAGUGAACCGUUGCUAAUCCACAGGUAAUCUUGGUGUCUACGGAUCGGGGAGCCUUGUAGAAGCACAACUACUCCUGAGGUGUUGAGAAAGCGGAUCUGGCAACGCUCUAGAUUGGGCCAACCCCGCAACUGUGUGGGCCACUCGACGAUUGAUUUUCUCCUGCAUUUUUUACUUCUUGUGAAUGCACUUUGGAUUCUAGCAUGCGCCACCAGCUCUCAUCGAUCUGUUCCUUUCUUCGCUUUGUGGCUUCUAUACGAGGCGCUGUCACCUCGAAAAGCAAACUUCCACGAAACGACCCGAACCCUCGGCAACGUCCUGGUUGCUCGUGAUUCCCAAGGGCCAAUGUGACCUCAUCAUUUUCUUGAUAAGCCUUUCGACCUUCUGAUGUAUUGUCUCAUUGAAGUGUUUCUACAAAUUUGAAGUCUUCAAUGAAUCCCACAAAAUUUGAAGUGUUUCUACAAAUUUCUACUAAUUCCUACUAAAUUCUACCAAAUUUGAAGUGUUUAUACAAAUUUCUACUAAUUUCUAAGAAUUUCUACCAAAUUUGAAGUGUUUAUACAAAUUUCUACUAAUUUAUUGGAAUUUCUAGAAAAUUUCUACUAAUUCCUACUAAUUUUAAGAAUUUCUACCAAAUUUCUACUAAUUUUCGAAGCAUUUGUACUAAAUCAUAGUAAUGUAAUAAAAAUUAUAUUAAAUGUUACAAAAUUAGACUAAGCAUUUAUACUAAUAAGUGUUUAGCAUUUCUACAAAUUUCUUCUAAUUUUUGAAUCAUUUAUAAUAAAACAUAAUAAUUUCUAAAAGUUAUACAAAAUUAUAGUAAGCAUCUAAACUUAAUUAUACUAAUUUCCUAGUAAUCAUAGUAAUUUCUUACUGAGUUUCAACUAAUAAUAGUAAUUACCUAUAGAUUUUUUACUAAUCUACAGAUUUUUUACAAAUUUCUAUUGAUUUUGUAGCAAAAAAAAUGGGCUCUUGCGUGAGCAAGGGCCCCACCGUAUGUGCAGGAGCUAGGGCUGGUGGGGGUUAGGCGGUGGCGACGGGAGGAGGGGUCCGUAAGGCGGCCGUGGUGAUGAAGUGGCAAUGCUCGGGAUGAGGAGGCCGGGGUGGCGGCAGCGGGAAUAGAGGUGGCGGCAACGACGGGGAUAGAGGCAGCGACGAGGACAGAGGUAGCAACAAGGCGGCGCGACCGAGGCGGUGGCAACGAGGAGACGCGAUGAAGGAUGCGGUGGGCCGGUGUGACGGAGGAGGUGGCGGUCUAGGUGCGGGCGAGGUGGCUGGGGUGGCGAGUGACGGCUCUAGGGGUGAUGGGCAAUGAGGAGAACGGUGGCCGGCGAGGGAAGCGAACGGGCAGCGACGGAGCAGGUGGACGGGUGCGGAUCUUGGCAGGAGUGAAAAAAUUGCCAAAGAGUUGAAGGAUGAGUGGGCUAGAAGACGACUGUUACUUUUAUCACCCUGCCCUUUAUCCCAGUUCGUAAUUGAAUCCGGGACUGAAGGAGCCUUUUGUCCUAGGUCCAAAUAGCAACCGGGACAAAAGACCCCCCUAUCCCGGGUGCAAACCGUAACCAGGGUAAAAGGGUACGUUCCGGGCGAGAAUCGAAAAAUACCCUUUUAUCUGGGUUCCAGUUUGCAUCCGGGAUAAAAGGGGGUGCCUUUUGUCCUGGUUGCUAUUGGCACCCAGGACAAAAGGGCCUGUUUUUUGGAAAUGGAUUUUAUUUAUGUUUUUACUGGAUUUCAGGAUGCAAAAAAAUAAAACUUUACAUAUUUCAAAUAUGCAAAAAUAUAUUAAAUUAGAUAAGUUUGAAUGAGUCAUUAAUUCUAUACCAGUUCUUUUAGCUUCUAAAAUAAUUAUUUAUUGCAUCGCUAUCAUCAAGAAAUUAUUCAAUUAAAUAAUUUCAACGCGUGAAAAAUUGAAUCUAUGUAUGUGGUUAACAUUGUUCAUAUUGAUCUAAUAAAUCCUCACCUCAACUAAUUUAAACAUAGAUGAAAUCAUACAUAUGUUAAACUAAAAAUUGUAUCAAGUAGUACAUGACAUCAUAGAACUUUACAAUGUAACUUUACAUAAAGGUGAAGCAAAUUUGGUGCAUUACAAUGUAAAGUUAAAAAAAUUUCUUCUUCACAAAAGUUUCUUGAUCAUGAUCGCGGUGUAACUACGGAGCCUCUACUUCGGAUAGCAAGAUGUUUGGGUUAACUUCAACAAUGAAUGGAGGCAAGCCAUCAAACUGAUCACAAUCAUCUGAUUGGUCUGUUUCGUCCUUGACUCCCACGAUUUUUCUUUUACCUGGAAGAACUAUGUGGCGCUUUGGCUCCCAUGGCCCUUCUGGAUUUCUCUUGGGUUUGCUAGAUAUGUGCUUCACAUAGAAAACCUAAUGCACAUCAUUGGCAAGUACGAAUAGUUCAUCACUAUAUCCAGUCUUGCUCAGGUCCACUAUUAUCAUUCCGUACUGAUCUUUGUUUACACCAGUUAGCUUCACCCAUUUGCAACAAAAUAGAGGGAUGUACAGCGGUUCGUAUUCGAGUUGCCAUAUCUCCGCUAUGAAACCAUAAUAUGACUCCUUGCUACUGUUUCUGUCUAUGGCAUGUAUGCGAACACCACUAUUCUGGUUCGUGCUUUUCUGGUCUUGGGCUCUUGUGUAAAAUGUAUAACCACUUAUCUCGUAGCCUUAGAAUUUCACGAUUGUGCUAGCAGGUCCUCUGGCUAACCAAGUGAGCUGUGGGUGAAUUUCGAAGUUACCCAUAAGUUGUUGGUGCAACCAGGAAGGAAAAGUGUCCAUGUGAUGACGUGUAAGCCAGGCAUCAGAUUUUGUCGGAUUUUUGGAAACUAGGAUCUGCCUAUGUUGCUCGAUAUACGGAGCCACAAAGGAUGACUGCUGCAGAAAAUUGCAGUGUGCCUUGUCGAACAAAUCAGUAUCAUUGCUCAACUUGAUUUCCUUCCAAGGGUGCCUAUUGCUCGUAGCCUCCCCUUGUGGCGUGAAGUUGGAACCCCAAUCGAGUCAAUUGAGUCAAUAAAAUCAACACAAAACUCGAUCACCUUCUCUGUUCCAUAUCCCUUGGCAAUGCUUCCUUCUGGACGGGCACGAUUAAGAACAUAGCUUUUUAGGACUGACAUGAACCUCUCGAAAGGCCACAUAUUGUGCAGGUAUAAUGGUCCGAGAAUACCAAUCUCUUUUACUAGGUGAACCAGGAGGUGCGUCAUAAUAUUGAAGAAGGAUGGUGGAAAUACCAACUCAAAGCUGACAAGACAUCACACCACAUCAUUCUGUAGCUUUGCUAGUUUGGAUGGAUUGAUUGCCUUCUACGAAAUCGCAUUGACAAAUGCGCAUAGCUUUACGAGCGGCAAUCGGACAUUCUCUGGUAGAAAACCCCUCAGUGCAACAGGAAGCAACUGGGUCAUCAACAUGUGACAGUCAUGGGCCUUGAGAUUUGUGAACUUUUUUCUUUCAUAUUUAUUAUUCCCUUUAUAUUCGAGGAGUACCAAAUGACACCUUCAUACUACUCAAGCAUUCAAACAUGCUAUCCUUCUCUUCCUUGCUAAGAGUGUCACUGGCAGGACGUAAGUAGUGUUGUCCGUUAUCUCUCUUUUCCGGAUGUAGGUCAUCUCGUUGCCCCAUGGUUUUCAGGUCUUAUCAUGCUUCCAAUGUAUCUUUUGAGGUCCCAUAAAAACCCAUGAAGCCUAGCACAUUCACGCAAAGAUUCUUUGUCAGGUGCAUCACGUCUAUUGCAUUGCGGACCUCUAGGAUUUCCCAAUAAGGUAGCUCCCAAAAUAUUGACUUCUUCCACAUGGGUACACAUCCGUUAUUGUCGUUCGGAACAGGUUGGCUACCAAGCCCCUUUCCAAAGACUACCAUUACAUCCUUUAUCAUCUAAAAGACACGCUUUCUAUUAUGGUGUGCAGGUUUUUUACGAUUGUCUGGCGCGCCUUUGAAAUGCAUCCCGCUCUUUCUCACCUGGGGUGGGUAGGGAGAAAUCGACGAUGACCCAUAUAGAUGACCUUCUUAUAGUGCUUCAAAUAUAUGCUGUCUGUGUCAUCUAAACAGUGGGUGCAGGCCCGAUAUCCCUUGUUUGUCUAUCCCGAAAGACUACUCAGUGCAGGCCAAACAUUGAUAGUCACAAACAACAAUGCUCCUAGGUUAAAAAUCUCUUGUUUAUCAUCAUCCCACACACAUAUACCUUCUUCCUUCUAGAGCUGUAAAAGUUCAUCAAUCAACGGUCUUAGGUACACGUCAAUGUUGUUGCCGGGUUAUUUUGGGCCUUGGAUAUACGCCGGCAUCAUAAUGAACUUCCGCUUCGUGCACAGCCAAGGAGGACGGUUGAACAUACACAGGGUCACAGGCCAAGUACUAUGACUACUACUCAACUCAUAGAAUUGAUUGAAUCCAUCAGUACUUAAACCAAACCUUAUGUUUCCUGCAUCACUUUCAAAGUUCAGGAAUGCUCUAUCAAUUAAUCUCUACUGAGCCCCAUCAACAGUGUGUCUUAGCAUCUCAUCUUCCUUACAUUCUUCUUUGUGUCAUCGCAUCAAUUUAGCAUUUGCCUUGUUCCUGAACAAGCACUUCAAGCUUGGUAUUAUAGGAAAGUACCACAUCACCUUCGCGGAAACUCUCUUCUUGGGAGCCUGCCCCAUGACAUCACCAGGAUCAUCUCACCUGAUCUUAUACUGUAGCGCUUCGCACAUGGGACAAGCAUCAAGUUUCUCGUAUUCAGCACCACGAUAGAGGAUACAGUCAUUAGGGCAUGCAUGUAUCUUCUGAACCUCCAAUCCUAGAGGGAAAAUAAUAUGUUUAGCUUCAUAUGUUGUGGAUGGAAAUUCAUUAUUCUCGGGAAGAAUCUUCUUGACAAUUUUCAACAUCCCCUGAAAUUCUUUAUCGAACACACCAUUUUUGGCCUUCCAUUGCAUAAAUUCUAGUAUAGUAACCAGAUAUUUAUGGCCCUGCUAGCAAUCUGGGUAUAACAAUGUUUGGUAAUCAUCUAUCAUGUGCUACAACUUUGCUGCUUCCUUCUCAGUUUUGCAGUCUCUAUGUGAAUCCCGUGGCACCUGACCAAGGUCAUCAGUAGGGCCAUCUUCUGCAAACUCAUAUUCAUCAACCUCGCCCAUUGUAGUAUCUGCAAAAUCUUGGCCUGCAGCCUAGUCUGGAAUGUUGUCAUCAUCCUCCUCCUCUUCGCCAUCUUCCAUUACAACCCCUCUUUCGCCAUGCUUAGUCCAAACAAAUAGUUAGCCAUGAAACCAUAUCCAAACAAGUGGCUGUGAAUAGUCCCCCAGAAAGCUUGUGAAUAGUCCUUGUUACUGCAUUGGAAGUAUGGACAACAUAUGUACCCGUUCUCUGGCUUGUUCGCUUUGGCGACUUCGAGAAAAUAAUGCAAGCCAUCAAUAAACACCUUGCUUCAUUUGUCCGCAUUAUACAUCCAUUGCCGGUCCAUCUACAUCGUAUUACGCACGAAAAUAGAUUACACAUGAAAAUGGAUUACUCAUGAAAAUGGAUUACACAUUUUUUUCCUUUUUUUAUUUUUGUUGUACACAAUUAAUUUUAAUAUGAUUUUUAGCAAGCAGGUCUUUAACAUCUUGCCAACGUUAUAAAUGUUAGGUUAUAUGGUAGUUGUUUUUUUACCAAUUCAAAUAUAUUGUUUCUUCAUCCUUUAAUGAUUACAAAUAUUAGGUUCUCUUGUUGCGAAUAAGUGUGACAAUUCCAUUUCGCAUCAAAAUUCAUCUUUACGUGCCUAUUGAUGGUUAUUUGAUACGCUUUAUGACUUAUAUACAUGCUAUUCACGAUUGAAAGCAUGCCAAACUUUGUAGUGCAAAUGAUGCUGAAAGUUUAGAUAUAGAUAGAAAUACACAUAUUUAAAUUUCAGAUCCAAACAACAUGAUACACUACAACAAACCAUCCACUAAAAAUUAUCUAGGAGGACUUUAAGCAUGCUUGGGCAAUGAAAACGAAGGUUUCGCUGACCCAGCCUCAUCCUGUGGUUUAUUUGUGCCUCCUGCAAAAGUAGUACUAAGUGGACGUGAAACAUCGCGACUGGCAGUGGAGCAUAACGACCACCAAAAAGAGGUUUCUAACCCGCCGCAACAGCAUUUUCAUGACAUCUUUGAAAAUAACGAGGCAUUGCUUCCUCCCAUGUGCUCAUUUUUUUCGGCUUACCAUAAGGGCCAACUAUAGUUUUCCCCUUGCCACGAGAGGAACGACGAUCGACCCACCAUCGCCACUACCUCCAGCAGCAGAAGUCAUCUCUAUGUAAAAAAAUUCAUAUCUUAGCACUGUAGAACUUGUUAAACUUGAAGACCGUGAUCAUCUCGAUGAGCAUUUCUCCACCGGGCGGCACCGUACUUCGCAAUGGAAGAGCUCUGAUUCUAUGAGGAAGGGGACAUGAUCUUCCAUGAUGUCCAUUGCUUCUCUUCCUUGUAGAAUCGAAGCUCCUCCUUGACGUCCAUUGCCACUCGGUGGAGAACAUGCUCACCGAGAUGAACAUGGUAUGCAUGUUCAACAAGUAUGGAUUUGAAAAACCAUAUUGAAUUUGACAAGUUAAACCGUCUAGACAAGGGUAGCAUCAUUCUUAAACCGAUGCAAGAAUACAUACUAUAUAUGACACAUAUGACAUACUAAUUUUUUUCUCAUAAUUAAUAUUGAAAUCCUCUCCUUUCUACCUCACAUUUACUCUCCAUUCUAGCUCAAAAUCCUCACCAUUUUCUACUUCACAUUCUAGCAAAUAAACUAUCCAUCUCCAUUCUGCACAACAAGUUGUUUUAAGUAAUAUGAAUCAUAUAUAACAAGAAAACUAUCCACCAUAUUCUAGCUCAAAAAUAUGUAUAAAUACAAAUCCUCUUCAUUCUCCCUCUUUCUAACAAAUAAACUCAUUUUUCUUCCUCUCUAAAGCAUAAAACAAAGCAUAACAAGAGAAUGAAGUAGCUAACCUUCAGAACACUUUGGAUGAGUGAAAUCCCCAUGGAAAUGACAAAAAAAAUUUGGGAAGCACCUCCCCUAGGCUUGCUUCGGCGCCAUAGAGAGUAGGUGAAGCUCUCUAUCUUUGUGGAGUGGACUGGCUCGGGCUGGAGGAGGAAGAAAGGCCUCUGUCUCGGGAUUUAAUGGAGGAUGAGUUUUUAUCCCGGUUUGAAAUUCCAACCCAGAUAAAAAGGAAACCCUUUUGUCCCGACUGAAGUUUACUCCCAGUUGGAAACACCAACCGGGACAAAAGCGCAACCAUUCCAGCCAGGAGUAAACUUUUUAUCCUAGUUGGUAACUCCAACCGAGACAAAAGGGUUGCAUUUUUAUCCCGGUUGGUGUUUCCAACCGGGACAAAAGGGUGCCGCCGUCGGUGCUAGGAUACUAACCGUUACAACCGGGACUAAAGGGGGGCCUUUAGUCCCGGUUGUAUAUACCAACAAAGAGUAAAGCUCCGCCCCAUUCCAGUUUUCAGCCUACCGUGGUGCACCCCCUUUUAUACCGGGCCAACUAUAAACCGGGACAAAAGGGGCUGCAUGGAAGGUGAGUUCUCUAAUAGUGUACGUAUUGGACAUUGUGCCUGGCAAGACCUACCUGAUACGAAUAAUUAACGCCGGGCUAUCCUCCGAGUUCUACCUAAAGAUAGCUGGGCACAAAUUCACUGUGGUUGGUGCCGAUGUCAACUACGUCAGCCCAUACACCAUGGAUGUGAUCGCCAUGGCGCCCGGUGAGACAGUGGAUCCCUUGGUUGUUGCUGAUGCGCUCCCUGGAAGGUACUAUAUGGUUGCCCUGCCCAAUCAGGCACCAUUGCGGGACACCCAGACCCCGGAAUACACAAUUAGAGGGAUCAUGCAAUACAGCAACAGUCACAGCUCUGCCGAUGAUCCAGCAGGACUGAUGUCAGAUCAUGUUGUGGAAGAGGAAGAAGAAGAUAAAGGUUCAUCCGGUGAUGUGCCAGUAGCACCUGAGAUGCCUGAUAUACAUGACACAAUUGCAUCUUACUACUUCCACAGCAACCUGACCAAGCUGCACCAAACGGAGGUCCCUCAGCGAGUUGAUGAACGUUUGUUCAUCGUGCUCAGCCUGGGUUCAAUAUGUCAGAAUGGCCAGUGCUGCAGCAGUUCUACAGGGCGAUUUCAACCCGAUGCAUCUACAUGGUCACAACAUGAUCCUUCUUGCACAGGGGUUUGGUAACUUCGACGCCGCGAAAGAUGUUGCAAAAUACAACUUGGUGAAUCCACCGGUGAAGAACACCAUUCUUGUCCCAAAUCAUGGGUGGGCUGCCAUCCGAUUUGUUGCGAACAAUCCAGGUGUGUGUAAGAUUUAUUUGCGUUAGUUGGGUUUCAAAGUCGACGCUGUCAGAUCUAAUGCUUGUCUUAUAUGAUUUAAGGGGUAUGGUUCAUGCAUUGCCACUAUGAAUUCCAUUUGACUAUGGACAUGGCGGAAGUAUUCAUUGUAGAGGAUGGUCCGACAGUGGACACAUCUCUCCCUCCACCACCUGCUCAUUUUCCAACAUAUUGUGGUCAUGACGACAAUCUCCUUCUGGGUGAACUGUGCCUCCAAACUAAGAAGAUGCAUGAAAUCCCACGCAUAAAUGUAGUCUGAAUAAAUAUUACUGCAACCGCCGGUUAUCAAAUUAAAUAAUGGAUGGCCCACGCUAGUACCUAGAUUCAAGUAUGCAUAUUAAAACUACUGUAUCGUCUUCACUCUAUCAAUAAUGUGAGGCCAAUUAUAGGACAAUCCCCUUUUAUAUCCAUAUAUGCAUAUCUUUCUUUUUUCUAUAUUCGAUUUUACAUCCUAGUGAAUUGCAAAUUUUAUCUAUAAUUGCAUAUACUCUCUCCGUCCCAAAUUGCAGAUCGUUUUGGCAUUUCUAGCUAGAUUCAUAUCUUUUAUUAAUAGCUUUUAUAAAUACAUGUACUUACAAAUUAGACCCGUGUUCAAGUGGAAGUGACUAGAGGAAUAAUGAAUCAUGUCGAAAGUCCCCCAAACACGAUUAAAAAUGUUCAGUCACCCUUCUGACGUACAGUCCAAAGUUCAAAGCACGGGAGCUGCAAACAAUUAUUUCACCACCGUUUUACACUUAAGCCAUAUAUAUCCUUCGUACAAAGACCAGGCGGAUUACACAUAAAGAGGUCCAACUAGCUAGCUUCUCAACAUGCGACUAGUAAACCUGAAGCAAGAUCGAAAUAAUAAUCAAGAAGCCAAGCAGUUUCAAUGUCUAUUUUGUUUUGUCUACAUACAUGUAGAACGUGGUAAACUAAAACUUAUACUAUAAUCUUUUAAGAAAACACCGUUGACCUAAAAAGGAAGACAUCUAACAUUAUUUUAUAAAAAAUAAACUAGUGAACAAAGAUAUUGCAAUAAGAAAGACAUUACCAAUACAUUAGCUGGUGUCUUCUACGUAUUAAGUAAUAGAGUGCAACUAGUCGUACGUGAAGUAUUUCCCCGAUACAAAGUAUGUUUAAAAAUGAAAAUUCCGGCCUACUAUCUUUCUCUCUUCCCAUAGUUAUCUCUAUGAAUCCUAAAAUUGUAACCUUUUAAUUAGAAUACUAACUUCAUGUAUCAGUAUUGAAAUUGAUGGCACAUAUAAUAGAUAUUGAUAAGUUUUUAUUAACAAUAUAAGAUAUCGAUCACGUUUGGAUGCCCCCCCCCCCAUCCACCCACUUAGAAUUUCUAGUUCCACUACUGGUUGGGUGAUACCAUAUGAUCUUUCCUAAAAGGUUCUAGAAAGGUAGUUUACCUAGGGUAUAUGCACUUCUUAGUGGAAGGACACCAGUACCGAAGUAAGCAGUUCCAUAAUUUUUUUGGCAGCAUGCCCGAAAUUGAUUCUGCUCCAAAAUUUUUUCACCAGGGCAGUGUCUUCAAGCAAGGCACUAAAAAAAUAGGUUUAAGUACUAUUUCAUGGAAACACUUGCGGAGCAGCAGCAGUCUGGGCUAGUAUUGAUGAACCAGCCACAUCAGUGGGCCACCUAGUGAGCUAGUAUUGGAAAUGGGUUACAAUGUCAAUUCUGUUAUUUGGAUGUAGAUGAAAUUGCUACAUGGAAUCAAAUAAGAUGGCAAAUACCAAUUCAUAUUUGGAUGUUUAAAUGGUGAAAUUGAGAGAGAGAGAGAGAGAAGGGGAGCGACGGGCGGCGCAGGCACCCGCCACAGGCCACCUCUGAGCCGCACUACGCGUGGACGGCCAUUGGCUGCAACUCUGCCUAGCUUGCGUUGGUUGCAAGGAAGAUCGGAGGGGGCGCUGCCGCGUGGAAGAUGGGAGAGGGCGCCGGGCACGAUGAAGAAGGAAGGGGGCACCGCGCAUGCGGAAGAUGAGGAGGGGGACCAGGGCAGAGGGGCGGACACUUGCGCUUUUCACACUUGCGCGGACAACAUUCUAGCAGUUUGAAGAUAGAAAGUGCAUUAUGGAUGGCAACGGGUACAAAUUACCCACGUGCCCACAGGUAAAAACCCAUUAGGGUGAGGAUACGAGUACCAUUUAGUAACUACGGGCAUGGGUGCGGGUUUGAUUUUGUGCCCAUGGGUAAAAAAUUUGCGGGUAUGAAAAUACCUUACCCAUGCCCGCAAACCCGCGAACCCGCUUGAGAUGUGGGCCUGCUACACAUGUAUAUAAUAUAAGGAUUUUCUAGGGUUCCCUUAUCCCUUGUCCUCCCCCAGGCCCCAGAGGCCAAGUCCCCUACAGAGCCGCAAUCCUAGCCUCCCACAGACCGCAUGCCCGCAGCGGUGCAGCCUCCCUCCAUGGCUCCGUCCCUCGACUUCCGCCGCCAGUUCCCUCCGGCCACCGUCUGCCCUCCAGCCGCCAGCCAUCCCUUCCCUUCCCGCCGGCAGCCACCUCCCCGCCACCAUUUUUCCAUCCGCCCUCGCUGCCCCCACCACCACCGCUCUGCUCGGUGCCCGCCCACCUCCCCGCCGCCACUCGGUCAGCCGCCUGCCGCCCACUCUGGCAGCCGGCACCCGCCGCCAGCCAUCCCUUCCCACCUAGCGCCUAUAUUCCCAUCGCCGCCCCAGCCCCUAGGUCAGUCACUUUCCUCUCACUUUUUCUUCAUUCUCUAUUCAGUAGAAUGAUAGAUCCAGGAACUACACUUCUGCCUUGCCAUUGAUUAAUGAUAGAUCUAGUGAAAUGUCAUGUCUAGUUGGUGAUUUUGUGAUUGUCUAGAAUGAAUGAACUAUUUUGUGACUGAAUGAAUGAUUUGGUGAUUUUGUUGAGUGGUUGUAGUGUUCAGUAGAUAAAAUGAAUGAAUGAUUUUGUGUGAAGCAUGCAACUAUAGCUAGUUCAUAACAACUCCAUGGAUUAAAUGUAUGCAUCUACCAAUUUGAAUUGCUAUUUUCCCUAUAUACGGUCUUUAUCACAUGGUUUUGUUUGUAUUGUAUCACCAAGCAUAACAUGGUUUUGUUUGUAUUGUACCAUGACUAUAGAUUGGAUUGGUGAUGGAGACUCCUCACAGCAGUGUCCAACCUGUGCAGGUCUCGCAAGCUUCCAUCCCUAUUGACGAAGCUCUCCCUGCUAAUCAGGUUAUCAACAUUAAUGAUGGAGUUGAUGAUCACGAGGACGAAGACGGGACUGCUGGUAUAACUUAUUUACAGGGUUCACAUAGGAAGCUCACAUCUACUGUAUGGAAGGAAUUCACACGAGUUUGUGAUGAUGAUGGAGUUUGGAAGGCAAAGUGUGACCACUGUGGCAAGAAGCUUUCAGCUACAACAAGAAAUGGUACUAACCAUCUACGUACUCAUCUGAAAAUCUAUAUCUAUAUGAAGAAGCCUGGUGAGAAAGUGCAAGCAAAUUUGAGGUUUGCAUCCACUAACAAAGGUGCAGUAGCUGUUGAAAAUUAUAUGUUUGAUCAAGAUGUAGCUAGGAAAGCACUUUACACAAUGAUUACACUGCAUGAGUACCCUCUGUCCAUUGUGGAUCAUCUUGGUUUUCAUCAAUUUGUUAGUGCUUUGCAACCCUUGUUCAAGAUAAGAACUAGAAGCACUAUUAGGAAGGGCAUCCUGAAUUGCUAUGAUGUGGAGAAAAGAAAAGCUAGGAUGUUUCUUCAGAAGCUCAGUUGUCAUGUAGCCAUUACAACUGACCUAUGGACUGCUGAUAAUCAGAAAAGAGGACAUAUGGCUGUCACUGGACAUUUUAUUGAUGACUCAUGGACCCUUAGAAGCUGCAUUUUGAGGUGAUUUCUUAUUGUCCUACUUCAAUUACUUGCUGUCCUAUUUGUGUUUUACUUCAAUUACUUGCAAGUCUUAUUUGUGUUUUACUUCAAUUACUUGCUAUCCAACUUAUUUUAAUUGUCUUUUCUAGGUUUGUAUAUGUGCCAUGCCCCAUAUUGCUGAAGUUAUUUGUGAUGCACUACUUAAAUGCCUCCAGAGUUGGGAUCUUGAUUGCAGGGUGUCCACUAUGACACUUGACAAUUGCAGUGUCAAUGACAGCAUGAUUGGUCUAAUGGAAUCAAGGCUUGGGGAGGAUAAUAUGUUGCUGGGUGGAAAGCACUUGCAUACCCGUUGCUAUGCACAAAUAUUGAACCUUAUUGUACAAGAUGGAUUGGAAGUGAUCAAGAAAUCUAUUGCAAGAAUCAGAGAGAGCAUUGCUUAUUGGAUUGCUACACCAAAGAGGUAUGAAAAAUUUGUGAAAGUAGCUCAACAAUAGAAGGUUGAAUUGAAGAAAAAACUGUGUCUUGAUUGCAAAACUAGGUGGAAUUCAACUUUUGUCAUGCUUAGCACUGCUAUACCUUAUAGGAAGGUUUUUGAUCAUUUGGACACUCUUGACCAACACUUUGUUUUCCAACCAAAUUAUGAUUGGAAAUUUGCAGCUAUUGUUUGUGAGAAAUUAGAAUUGUUCUAUCAGCUCACUGAAUUGUUUUCUGGAACAAAGUAUGUGACAGCUAAUAUCUUCUUUCCUAAAGUAUGUGAGAUCAAACUUAAAAUUAACUCUUGGAAAGAAGAUGAAAAUGAGAUCAUUAGAAACAUGUCCACUGCAAUGAUAGAGAAGUAUGAUAAGUAUUGGUAUGAUAUCCAAGGUCUCAUGGCUAUUGCUGUUAUUCUUGAUCCACGCCUUAAGAUGAUCAUGCUGCAAGCUUGCUAUAUGGCUCUUUUGGGUCAAGAAGAAGUUGAUAGAUUUUUUCAAAAGAGCUAUGAAUUGCUAACUCAAUUGAUGGAUGAGUACCAAGUGCAAGUUGAUCAAGAGGUUGUGGGUGCAUCAUCUUAUGGGGCUUCAAACUCUACUGUUAGUGCUGCUGCUGUUCUGUCCAUAUUCAAAACACUUGCUACCACUAAGAAGACCUCAAGUCUUGUUAAAGCAAAGAGUGAGUUAGAUCGGUACUUGGAUGAAGAUCCUCUUCCUCAUGAUGAGAAUGAGUAUUUUGAUGUCUUGGGUUGGUGGAAGGUGGCUGGAACUCACUUCCCUACUUUGAGGUUGAUUGCUCAUGAUAUUUUGGCAAUUCCCAUAACCACAGUAGUUUCUGAAUCCGCUUUUAGCACUAGUGGAGGGUUCUAAGUGAGCAUCACAGCCGUCUUACUCCACAAAUGUUGGAAGCUUUGAUGUGCAACCAAAGUUGGUUUGGUCACAAUCUUAAAGGUAAAGAAUUAUGCUUUUGAUUCCUACAGCUUGUCAAUGUUGUCAUCUCAUUCUAAUGAUCUUAUGGCAGUAGCUUACUAAUGUCGUCUUCUUAUUCCAAUGUGCAUUUGUAGGUCAAGAUGAUGGAAAGAUUGACACCUUUUGGUUCUACCUUGAAGACAUUGAAGAAGAAAUGAAGGAAGAACCUUGCAUCUCUAUCGUCGACUCUGAUUAAGCUUGAUGUUCAUUUGUAUCUGUUAUGUGAACAAUAUUUGUGUGAUUUGAGCCAUGUGUCUGUUGUUCUAGACUUGUCACUUAUGCUUGUUGAGCCAUAUUUAUUUGGCUUGUACUCUUAGUUGUGAACUUAAUAUGUGAACUUGUGCUGUUGUAUUGUGCAUUGGAUCUAUCUUCUGUGAUCUGGCUGGCGGGUAUGGGUGUGCCCGCGGGUGACAGGCGCGGGUUCAAGUUCGUACCCGUGAUGGGUCGCGAGCGCGGGUGCGGACACAGGGUUUGCCUCACGGGUGCGGGUUUGUAAACCCUCUGCCCGUGGGUAAUGUGCCCGUUGCCAUCUAUAAAGUGCAUUCUGCAGGAUAACAUGCUAGCCCGUUAAAAAUAAGUUCUACUCCCUCCGUCCCGCAAAGAGUGUUAGUUUAGAAAAUUUCAGAUACAUUAGUAGUGAUGAGAAAUAUUUAUGUUGCCCCUAAUAACUAAUGUUAAUUGUGAUUGAAAAUCGUACUGCCUGUUUAGUUUUAUGAAUCCUGAGUAAACUCGCGUGCAUUAAACCAGAGAAAUAACAUCAAUUGAUCAUUUGAUUGGCUCUACGCGCUUCCCCAUAUGUUUUUCUUUAUUGGUGUGAGUGUUGCUUAACUAGAUGAUGUUUACUAGGAGGUAAAAGGACACUCUUUGUGGAAUAAAUUUUGGAGUCUAAAUGGACACGGGACGGAUGGAGUAUGUAUCUACAGUACAUACAGAUCUCACAUGUCAAUACUAGCAAAAAGUUGUUGCCUCGAGUUGACCACUAUUAUUCGGUUCACACAUCUCAAGAACCGAUCACAUCUUUCAUUAAGUAAAGUCCACGGUGAUGCUCAUGCCUGCAGCUCUUGUUCAAACAAAUACCUAUGCCUAAACAAACAUCAUGUGGUAGCAGUAAAAGUCUAAUGGAGACUUUUUUUAAAUAAAGUCUAAUCAGAUCAUAUCAGAUACGAAAAUAAAAUCAGAUGUUGAUGUUGAUGGAUUUACUUCUCAAUGACAGUUGGAUGGGAGAAGAAAAGUUUAGUCCAAAAACUAAUGGUCGGAAAGCAUAAGGUACAAGGUGGGCUAGCCCUCACCCAACAAUACAAUCUCGUGGGUUGAGUUAGGCUAAUAUUAUUGUUGCUUGUGUACUCGGGUGGACCUAAUCCUCGUAUGGAGAGCUGGAGUUGAUUUGUUGUGUACUCUAAGGGCCCAGUUGGCACGUGGCUUUUCUCGGCUUGGGCUUCAACUGUUGUAGCAUUGGAAUGUUACUGCAGCACAUAGCUAUUUCUCUCCCUCGCAAUAAAAUAAAUUGGGAGCCGAUGAAGUCUGGUUUCUUUGUUUUCACCGGCUCCGUCUCCUCAUGCCAUUGUAGCAUCAAAAGAAGCCCUCCUAAACGUACGCCCUAACAGUUGUGUUAGUGGAACGGCAUCCAGCAAUGCACGAAUGCAGCACUUCUGCCAAAAACAUGAGCCUGCUGUCUGUCAGAUACACAUGUACACACCCAAAUAACCUAAUCGCUGAUAAUCUUUAGCAACAAGGGGUCAAACAAGGAAUUUAGUUACUUGUACACUUCUUCCAACGAACUUCAAUGUAGCCGUAAUUAAUUCGAUCGUAUUGGAAGUCAUAAACACAUAAUUAGCACUAUGCACUUAAGAUUAUGUUGUUUCUUUGACUUGGAACAAGUAGCUAGUGAACACUUGCGCGGACAACAUGCUAGCAUGCAGUUUGAAGACAGGAAGUGCAUUCUGCAGGACAGCAUGCUAGCCCGUUAAAAAUAUGUUCUACUCCUACAGUACAUACAGAUCUCACAUGUCAAUACUAGCAAAGUCGUUGCAUUGAGGGCAGUCCCAAUGGGACAUUGAUGAUAGUUUCUAUCCCUCUUAAUUAUCAUGUCAACUAAGCAAUUUGCUGAUGUGGCAGUAGAUUUAUUAUGGAGAGAGAGAAACCAUUUCUUAGAGAGGAAACCAAGUCCUCACGCGCACCAAUGAGCUAAGAAACCAGCGAUUCUGCAUUGGGGACCCAAGUAGUUUCUUCUUAAUUACUGCAGGAUCCUUUGCGCUUGCACCGCUGCUACCCAUCACUCGAGCUCCUUUACAUGAUGCACAGAGGAUCUGGUACUAGAAGGGAGAAUGAUUGGUUGGAUUUUUAUUUAGACUCUAGAUAAAAAAGUUGCAUUGUGAAGGAUGAUUUCUUGAUACAAUAUCCUAGACUAUGGAAACUAGGUUGGUUUCUCCCAUUGGACUGCCCUAACUUGAUCACUAUUAUUCAGUUCACACUUCUCAAGAACCGAUCACAUCUUUCAUUAAGUAAAGUCCACGGGCCACGGCGAUGCUCAUGCCUGCAGCUCUUGUUCAAACAAAUACCUAUGCCUAAACAAACAUCAUGUGGUAGCAGUAAAAGUUUAAUGGAGACUUUUUUUUUGAAAUAAGUCCUAAUCAGAUCAUAUCAGAUACGAAAAUAGAAUAUACCACGAGGCAAUCGAGGUAACAAAAAGAAGGAGAAAGUUGGUGAGAUACAACGAGAGGAUUACAGGUUGGUAGGCUGACACCCAAUUAAUGGUGCGUUCUUGGAAAAACGCAUCCACUGUCAGGCUACUUACUCUAGCGGUAGCAGUACCCUUAGUUGCGUGUUAGCUGUUAGCUCAAAGUUGAUGUGAAUCCUAUGUAUAAGAUAGCUUAGGAUCUGUUUGGAUACACACUCAUAAUCUUUAGGACUUCACUUUUAGUCCACUUUUAGGACUUGUGCAUUCAAACAUAUGUCAUAAAAGUGCAUUCAUAAUAUUUAGGGUCUGUUUGGAUACACCCUCAUAAACUUUAGGACACUCAUAAAGUUUAGGAGCUAGAAAUUGGUAGUCCUAGAAUUUAUGAGUGGGCUGUUUGGAUGGAAUCAUAAUCUUUAGGAUGUUGGAGGGGAAAUGACUUUUGUACCCCUAAUUACUCCACCCCUGCUCUGUUUCUAGCGCCGUGGAGAGAGAAGGGGAGGGGCAACAGGGGUAAAGGAUGGGUUGGGGACCACUUUUAGGAGAGAAAUGACCCAUUAUGAUGGUUUGGUCCUCCUAAUGAAAACAACACUCCUAAACAUUAUGAAUGCACUUUUAUGACAUAUGUUUGGAUGCACAAGUCCUAAAAGUGGACUAAAAGUGAAGUCCCUCACUACCCACGCUUUUGUANNNNNNNNNNNNNNNNNNNNNNNNNNNNNNNNNNNNNNNNNNNNNNNNNNNNNNNNNNNNNNNNNNNNNNNNNNNNNNNNNNNNNNNNNNNNNNNNNNNNNNNNNNNNNNNNNNNNNNNNNNNNNNNNNNNNNNNNNNNNNNNNNNNNNNNNNNNNNNNNNNNNNNNNNNNNNNNNNNNNNNNNNNNNNNNNNNNNNNNNNNNNNNNNNNNNNNNNNNNNNNNNNNNNNNNNNNNNNNNNNNNNNNNNNNNNNNNNNNNNNNNNNNNNNNNNNNNNNNNNNNNNNNNNNNNNNNNNNNNNNNNNNNNNNNNNNNNNNNNNNNNNNNNNNNNNNNNNNNNNNNNNNNNNNNNNNNNNNNNNNNNNNNNNNNNNNNNNNNNNNNNNNNNNNNNNNNNNNNNNNNNNNNNNNNNNNNNNNNNNNNNNNNNNNNNNNNNNNNNNNNNNNNNNNNNNNNNNNNNNNNNNNNNNNNNUGAUGUACUGAUCGACUAUGAUAUUAGUGAUCGUCCUAACUAAUCAAAGUACUGCGUACUGAGAGACUGAUCCACUCGUAGCGUGUCGGUGGACGUUGAUUUCGAAGCCUUCCAUUGCCUCAACGCGCUCCACCGGCUUAUUCUAUAGACUGUCGUAUGGGCAAGAGCACUCGAUGGUUGACUUGACUCUCUCCAUCAUGCAUGUAUAUAUCAGAUCAAUCUAAACAGCCCACUCAUAAAUUUUAGGACUACCAAUUUCUAGCUCCUAAACUUUAUGAGUGUCCUAAAGUUUAUGAGGGUGUAUCCAAACAGGCCCUUAGAAGGUUGUGCUGUGAAAGAAAAUUACAUCAAAAACUGAGCGAGACUAGCUCUUCACUCCACGCUUGUCUCGUACAUUUUGCACUGUUCAGCUACCUCUGAACUGAAUCAUUGGAGACGCUCCUACGAUGAUACAGGCAGUAUGUUCGUUUGUGAGCUUCCUUGGUCAUGUUGUUCAAUUCUGCUGGGUGUCCACCGUGUGUUGAUUGAUCACUUUCAUGUGUGAAGUGACUCGAACAAAAAAUCGAUCACUUGCACUUUGUGUUGAUCGAUCACUUUCCGAUGUUUCGCCGGACUAGAAGGCCAGCCCCUCCGCAGGCCAGGCGCAAUGCAAGGGAGAGGAAUUCCUUCAUCUGCUCUCCGUGGACUGAACCAUAAAUUAAUUAGCAAAGGAACAUUUUACUAUAAUACCCUUGCUUAACGUAAUUACUGUGGAGGGAACCUGAGGUUUUCCUUCCAAGCACAGUAAGUAGGCUAAUUAUCAUACAUUUUCCCAGCACAAUUUCACAGUAUUUCGCACAUGCAUGUGUAGUUUUGUAGGAGUUGGCCCCAGGCCUUGCGUGUAGCAUCCUUUUGGCAUCCCUCAACCUUAAUAAGACACCGUUUGCUGGUGGCAAGGCAGCUCUUUUUCAAUUCAUAAUCUUGUUGUCUAAAUUUUUUUACAACUGUUUGGGCAUCUAUACAAUUUAAGUAAAUAAAUCAACUGGAAACUUGUACAUCUCAUAAAAAGAUCGUCUCUAUGGGGCUCCUUUCCAAGAAAGUCAUGAAUUUUUUAAACAAACCGACAUUCAAAUGUGCCAGUCUGUAAAGCUAUUGAUAAAAUAAAGUAUUAAAUUGAGUUUUAAUAUUAGAUAACAUGACUAAUCAGUAUUUGGCCAUUAUCAAUGCUCAGUUAGCUAAAAUAUUUGGCCUACCAAUCAGAUAAGGUUAGACAUUGGAGGUUGGAAAACAUUCGUCCAGCAGAGAACUGAACGAUAUUUAAUACAGUUUUGGACAGAAUGUUUUUUCUGAAAUUUUGUAAAAGUUCCGAACUGGACUAAAAUUUGACAUAACAUUUUGUUCGACCAGACGAGAACAUGUAUGUUCAAUGUGCACUAGGGUCCACUGAGUUAAAGCUUGGCCCCUAGCUGAGCGUAGGGUGGUACCGUGAGAACCUCAAGGGACAUAAGCAUCUAAUCUAAGAGUUUUUAAGCAUUGAACAUAUGUCUUUUUUUUAGAAACCAUAGGAGAUCAUAUGGUUAUUUCCAUGUGGUUUAAUCGGUGAUCAACUGCAGUCCCUAGAGACCUAGAGAUGACAUUAGCUUCGACCGUUAUAUAUAUAUAUAUAUAUAUAUAUAUAUAUAUAUAUAUAUAUAUAUAUAUAUAUAUAUAUAUAUAUAUAUAUAUAUAAAGGGUAAAGGAAAAAGAAGAGGUUGUUAUAAGUGAAGAAGAUCAAUGGGAGAUCAAUAAUAAAAUUUUAUUAGAAAGUUAUGAAGAAGAGGAUGAAGAUAUGCCCCACAUAUAUAUAUAUAUAUAUAUGGACUUCUUUUUGAGGAGUCUUUUAGAAGUUUUUCAGAAAAUUGGAUACGAUUCUCCUAGAAAACAGAAUUCCAAAACACGUUUUACACGUAUAUAUCAUGACGGCAUGCAAUUUAUAUCCAUUUUUUGAGGUUCAAGACAGCAAGUGCUAAGCGACGUAGUUGGCUUUCUCCUCCUGCAUGGCCUCCGCGAGUUUGGACCACUUUGUGCGGACGGUGACCACCAGCAAUGAGCAGGCCUGGCAUGUCAGCCCACAUAUCAGCCCCACCCACAAACCCUGCAGAAAAAAGAAUAUACAACAACAAUACAGCAAUUAAGCUGGAAAUUUGGACAGUUUCGGACAAUACAGCAAUUCAUCCAGCAGAAAACUUAUCGAUUUAAUACAGUUUUGGACAGAAAUCAUUUUUGCUGAAAUUUGGUAAAAAUUCCAAACUACACAAAAAUUGACACAACAUGUUGUUCGACCAGACGAGAACAUGUAUGUUCAAUGUGCACUAGGGUCCACUGAGUUAAAGCUUUGCCCGUAGCUGAGUACAGGGUGGUACCGUAAGACCAGUCUAAGUGCACAGUUUCAUUGUCCAGUUAUCAAGAUAGAGAACGAGGUAACUGUGUCAGCUGAGUGUUAUGGAGAUGAAACUCCUCUCUCAUCUGAUGAAACUUCUCCUCUUAAUUACCUUGGCAAGUUAGCAAUUUUGCUGAUGUGUCAUUAAAUCUAAUACCAUGAAACUCCUAUGAAACCCUCCAUUAAGACUGGUCUAAGAACCUCGAGGAACAUAAGCAUUUAAGAGUUUUUAAGCCUUGGACAUACUUUGUUUUGUUAGAAACCAUAGGAGAGGUCUGAUGGUUCUAGCCACGUGGUUUAAUCGGUGAUCAACUGCAGUCACCGGAGAUGACAUUAGCUCCUUUUUGAGGUGGAUGGUCAGAAGCUUCUUUUUGAGGAGUCUUUUAGAAUUUUUUUCAGAAGACGGGUUACUGUCACACCUGGUUUUAAAAUAAAACCAACUACUACCUAUAUGUCACACCUGGUUUUAAAAUAAAACCAACUACUACCUAUAUGUAUUUCAGAAUCUAGUUUCAUACAUAUAGUGACAUCAUAAGUGAAUAACAGUCCAGUAUCAAGUAAAUGAAUAUAAAUAAUGACUUACGGGUCUAUCAGAGAUAUACAGCUUAAUCUGAGAAACAGAGGCUCCAAACUUCACAGACAAUCUACUGGGGGUUGCGUACGCUUAGAAUUCAGCAUCAUCUUAAGAAAACUUCACACACCCUUCCUCUUCUGAGUAGCAGUAAGUAAGCGUGAGUACACUUAUGGUUGGUACUCAGUAAGGCCACAAGAAAUAGCCAGAAUAACAAUUUAAAUCCAUCUUCAAGUUUAUUAAUCAUGUGAGGGUCCAGGCCGCUCUUGACCAUGAGCACAGCUGUUAUAACAAUUUUACACUCUGCAAAGAUUGUACACUUUCACCACAAGUCGCGUAAAAGUUUAGAAGAACUUUGGAACCAACGAUGCUAUGCAAAAGUAGGCACUUAUCACACUACCGAGGUGUGACUGUAUAGGGAUGCUACGAGACCUUUACAAAGAUUUCCUAGUAAGGAUAACUCGCUAAGGUUUCAUGAUCAACGCAAUGCAUAAACCUCUCGCAAACUGCAAAGCUACCAUAGAGCAGAUCAGUUUGAGGGCCGAGCUAUAUACCAACUAUUGUCUCCCCCUUUUGCUCCUUUCAGGCAAAGCUACCACAAACUAGAGUUUCUAAUUAAUUUUCUAAGACCAAAGCCAUGUGAUUCUUAUCGUUGCACUGUUUUCCUGGGUGGUUCUCCAAUUAUGACAUGGUGGUCUUGUAAAUAAGCAUAGAUACAAGGAUAGCUAAGGACACUUGCCUUUCUCCAACGAAAAGUUACUCUUACUGCUCUUCAGCUCUUGCUCUCUUGAAACUCUUAAUCUUCAAAUCUUUUGAACAACAAUCCUUCUACUUGAAGCAAUCAUCAGGUCCCAACAUACAAAGCAAACAAACAAGUAUAAUUAAGAACAAUACACCAAUCAAAGAGAAAAGCUUUAACAGAGUGUACUAAAGAAUAGGGCUUGAUUCUACAAUAAGGAAGGCACAUAAAACACUAAGAAUAAUGAUACCGUUGAAAUAUACAUCUACCGAGAAACUUUUUGUACAGAAAAAGACAAGAGCUAUAUGCUGAAGUUAUUUUAACUAGAAAUCAUAUUUUAACUAUAAAAUAUCCUAAGUUAGAGUUGAUUCAAAUUAUAUUUUUAUCUGAAAAGAUGAUGUAAAACCUAGUAAACUUUUAUUUAUAAAUAUUCAUGUACAAAUUAUGCCAUUUAAACAUUUAACUUUGGAAAAAUAAACUAUAUGUAAUAAUAUCUAAUCAAUAACUUUAUAUGUCGCAUUGAAUAAAACAAGUUAUAAUUAGAAACUCAUUCACGUUGAUGUUAAUCAUAUUAACACUUGCUUAAAGAAAACCGUUGUAUAAACCUAAUUAGCUUUUAAUUAGAAAAAGCUAAGUAAAUAAGCAUUAAUUAAAAUUAAUACCAUACUUAUUUUCAAAAACACGAAACAUGGCGAAACAAUGUUGCUAAACUAUAGCUUAUGAUUAGAAGAGUAACACAGCAAGAACCGACUAGAAUGAAACUUUGGUCGAGAAGAUACAUUAUCAAAAGAUUUGGGUUCAUAAAAGAAAAGAAACUAUGUGCUUCAUACAUUUUAAAUGUAGAAAUCAAUGUGGAUGAUAUUUUAGAGAAAUAUCCUAUGUUAGAAUUAACUCACAUUAUAUUUAUAUUUUGAAAACAUGAAGUAAAGCUUAGUCAAAAUUUAGUUACAAAUGUCCAUGUAUAGUUUAUACUACUUUAAACAUUUAAUUUGGAAAAGAUAUCACAUGUGGGAACAUCUAAGCGCAUAACUUUAUGAUUCAUGUUGAACUAACUAAAUUAUAAUUUAAAAAUACAUUUAUAUUUAUAUUAUCCAAAUUAACAUUUAAUUAUGAAAACUCGAGAUAUAACCUAUGUAGCUUUUAUUUAUAAAACAAAUUGAGUUUAAUUUAUAAAAAUCUGAGGUAUAUCUCUAAUUAGCUUUUAAUUGAAAAACAUUUAAGAUGAAGCAUUAAUAAAAUUAACAUUUAUUAUGCAAAGCGGUGUAUAACACUAAAUACCUUUUAUUAAAGACAACAUAUUUAAUAGGUGUUAACCAAAUUAAUAUCAAAUUUAUUUUCAAAAAUAUGCAAUGAUGGAAAACAUCACCAUUGACGUGUAAUUUAUGUUGUUAUGAAUCUAACGCAACUUGAAUGGAUAGAAACGGAGCUAAAACUUGUAAUUUAUGGAUUAAACAAGGUUCUAAGGACCUAAAUAGAAUUAACUGUAGAUACCAGGGGCUAGCAGAGAAGAUUUGCAAGAUAGAGCAAACAGUGCUUGUAAAGAGGAAAAAGGUUAGGACUAUAUCUAUAAAAACUCUCAGGUAGGACUAGGGUGUAGAGAUUUUAAGGUCUUCAGGGGUUUGUCUACAAAAAAACCAAGACACAGGGAACCUUGGACUAUUUACAGAUUUCGUUAGGGGCUUCAUCGCAAAGAGCUCGAGAGGGCUUUUGGCCGGCCAAAUCGCUGGCGCUACGGGCAAUUUGGAGCUCGGCCAAGGCAGGGAAGAUGAAGAGGAGGUCGAGAGGAACUUGUAGGGUAGCUCAUCGUCGGCGGAGAGUCACGGCAUUGCCAGGAAUCUGGCGGCAGAUAGAGGAUGGCGGCCGGCUCGGGCCAUCAUGGGCGGCGAUGUUCCAGCGGUGGGAAGGUGAUGAGAACGAGCGGCAGAUGUGCAGCAUGAGGAAGGGAAGCACGAGGCGAUGUCAGCUUGCUCUAGGGAUGUCGGGAGGCGUCAAAUCGAAGCGGUGGCGGUGCUAUGCUCCUCCUACUCCAGGCGGCAACGCUCGCCCCGUUUGCUCGGAUUGCGGUGGCACUGGGCGAGGCAGCAAGGCAGUGGCAAUGCAUGCACGGCAGGGGCAUGCGGGGGUCAGGUGCUACGUUUUAUAGGGACGCGGGGCGGCCACGGCUUAGCGCGCAUGCCAAGGCUGGCCAGCGACAGCGGCAGCAUGCUGCGCUGUGGCCGUUGGCCCAGAUGGGCCUCGACUACAUCAUCCAUGUAGGCUUCUACGUUGAAGUGUAGUUGCGAUGAGAUCCUUUGGAUUUCUUGUUUUGACGACUACAUCAUCCACGUAGGCUUCUACGUUGUGCUGUAGUUGCUUCUCAAAACACAUCUGGAUUGCGCGUUGAUAUGUUUUACCUGUGUUCUUCAACCCGAAGGACAUUGUCUUGUAACAGAAAGCUCCAAACGGGGUGAUGAAGGCAGUUUUGGCUUGGUCUUCUUCCUUGAUUGCUAUCUGAUGGUAACCUGAGUAGCAAUCGAGGAAACAGAGUAGUGCACAACUAGCUGUGGAGUCGACGACUUGGUCGAUCCUGGGUAACCCGAAGGGGUGUUUGGGGCAGUGCUUAUUGAGGUCUGUGUAGUCUACACACAUCCUCCACUCAUUGUUGUUUUUCUUACGAACGAGUACUGGGUUGGCUAGCCAAUUAGGGUGGAAAACUUCCUUGAUGAAGCCAACUACGAGUAGUUUGGCUAGUUCUUUCUUGAUAGCGUCUCUCCUGUCUUGAGUAAAUCUUCGUAUCCGUUGCCAUUUAGGAGUAGGUUUGGGAUCAACAUUUAGUGAGUGCUCGAUCAGUUCCUUGGGCACACCUGGCAUAUCAGCCAAUUUCCAAGCAAAGAUGUCUCAGUUAGCCUGAAGGAAACUGAUGAGCGCGCUUUCCAAUUGGGGAUCCAGCCCUAUGCUAAUGAGGGUUGUCUUGGAUGAAUCACCAAUCUCUAGGUCAAUGGGCUUGGAAUCCUUGUUUGUUGCUAGCUUGACCUUGGCCACCCCCGCCUUGUUCUCUGGAAUCUCGAGUUCUGUUGGGGUGAGUUUUUUCGAGACUGUGAAGACUUGUUGCAUGGGACUAGGUGCUUGAGAAGUCGCAGCGAUUUCGAUGGCUUCUGCGUCGCACUCAUAGGAUCGCCUCAGGUCUCCACAUAGUGUGAGUUCACCUUUUGGUCCUGGCAUCUUGAGCAGUAGGUAUGCGUAGUGUGUUAUAGCCAUGAAUUUAGCUAGAGCUGGUCUUCCGAGGAUGGCGUGGUAAGAAGUCUCGAAGUCAGCGACCUUGAACUUAAUGUACUCGGUGCGAUAAUGUUCCUUUGUACCGAAGGUGACAGGUAAGACGACUUGCCCUAAUGGGAUAGCGGCGUUGCCUGGAACAAUUCCGUAGAAAGGAGAAUCUAUUGGAGUAAGCAUAUCAGUUAUGUCGAGGCACAUUUUCCUCGAGGUUUUGGCGAAGAUGACGUUGAGUCCACUACUAGCAUCGAUGAGUACUUUUGUUAGUCUUAAGCCUGCGAUAACUGGGUCGAGUACCAAGGGAAAAGGCCUGGCUCUGAGAAGUUGGUCCAUUGAUCCUUUCUGCUGAAAGAAAUUGGCACCUCGGACCACUUGAGUGGGGUGGGAGUCGCUGGCUCGAUGGCCAUGAUCUCUCUGAGCACUAGCAUGUUGGACCACUUCAAUGUGGUACCUGGGAUUCCGCCAAAGAUGACGUUGACAUUUUUUGAUGCGACUUAAAAUUUGUCUUCGCCAUCAUCGGUUUCGUCCACCUUGCCUUUGCCUUUGUCUCUGGAGUUUGCGGUCAAGUUUUUUUUAUUAUUUUUGGGCGGAGGAGCUUUGGGUAGUUCUUGCAUUACUCUACGGAGGCUCUAGUAGUCUAUUGCGGAGUGGUUACUGUGUGGAUGCCAUGGGCAUUGCUUCUUGAGUAAGUCGCUGAAUGAGGGGCUGUCAUUGUGUUUGUUUGCCCCUUUUUUGUUUGAGUUGGUAAGUGUUGCAACGGUGUUGUCGGGUUUGCGCUUGUGAUUCUAGUGACCCGAGGUAAUUGUUUCAGGUAUCAUUGUUGCGAUUUCUGUCUAGGUUUUGGUUGUUACCUUGGCUGUUGUUGUUGUUGCCCCCACGGUUGCGAUCAAACCUCUCACGUUCUUUGUCCUCCUCGUCUGCCCACUGCUGUACCAUGAUCUUCAAGUCUUUGACACUCGUAGGACAGUGUCUGCCAAAAUCUUGGUACAUGCGUUGGUCCUAGAGUCCAUUUUGAAAACAUUCAAUCACGUCUCCCUCUGAGAUGUCGACAAUCGUAGCCUUCUUCUCGAAGAAAUGACGUAGGUAGUCGCGCAACAAUUCGCCUUCCUGUUGUUUGACUUGGCUUAAGUCAACUUUGUUGCCUGGAUGUUGCAUUGAUCCCGUAUAGUUGUUGGUGAAAGCUGUUUUCAAUUCUUCCCACGAGUCGAUUGACUUGGGCUUGAGAGACUCGAGCCAAGUCAAUGGCGCGGGUUCCAUCCAUAUGGGAAAGUAGAUGACUUUUGUCUCGUUGUUACCCCCAGCUAUUUGGACUGCUAAUGAGUAGCAUCGGAGCCAUUGGACCGGGUCUUGUUUGCCAUCGUACUUGUUGAUUCCCAUUGGUUUGAACUUGUCGGGUAAUUUAGUAUGCAUGACUCGUGUGGUGAAGGUGGGGAAGUAGUCGGGAACAUCGGUUUCUGCUUCUCAUUCACAAUGACGGUUUCUGAUUAUGUCCCGAUCAUCGUGAUUCUGGUUGAGUACUUCCCUGAGAUCACUCAUGUAUGAAUGUUCCCGAUUGGUUCUAUGGCGAUGAGGACUUUGUGCGGAGUUGGUGUGACUAGCUUCUCCCGCACCUUUGUUUUUCUGUGGUGCUUUGGGUGCACCGCCACGUCUUGGAGCAUCUCUGCUACCAUUGUGCUGGCUAGAGUUGUGGUGUACAGAAGGGAUUGGUGACUCCUUGUCGAGCAACUGGUAAGCAUUUGCCACGAGUUGUGCUAUUAACUUGUUGCCUCUUCAUGUGAGUUGUACCGCGAGCUUGUUGUCUAUGUCCUGAGGUAUGAGGGUUGUUAAGAGAUUGAUCGAGGUGAUUGCUGUGAGUGGGGUGUUGUGCUCUCGUGCUUGUACUGCAUCGAAUGCUCGCUCGAGAUUCACAAUAGGUAUGCUUGCGAAAAGUAGUCGGCGACGUUCUACUCGAGUAGCGUUGCGAUUUCUUCUUUGAAUUCAUUGCUCACUUGUUGCAUCAUCCGGGGCAUUGGCUGAGAGCUCAUCAUCAGAGACUUCUUCAUGUUGUCCUACCCGUCGAGGUGUUCUGUGGUGCUCGUUAGUCGAGGUGUUUUGUGGUGAUGGUUACUAGUCGCGACUUCGUCGUGUGGUGACAUGACAACAAAGAGUUCCCUAUCUGAAUAGUAGCAUCCUAAGCUUGAGGUUGCAAUCUCUGUGGCGCUAUCUUCUCCUCGGAUUGGAGUAAGUGGAGUGCCCUGUUUAUAUGGGAGGGUACCCAUGUGGGCGACUAGGCAUGACUCGUAGUUUUGGGUAAGGGAUGAUGGCUUCAUCCCUGGCCAAUAAACGAAUUUGCCUUGCGAUGUGGAUGUGAUAACCAAACCUUGUGCUGGGUCUGAUGAAGGGUGUUCUUGAACGGAGUCCGAGUUGUAGUCGUAGUCCUCAACUGUUUCUUGUCCUGAUUGGACUCGAGUGAGGAGUUCUUGGUGGACCCUGGCUGCGUUUCGGAACCCGAACGGGAAUCAACUUCGAUUUGAAAUCGACUUGCAAGGUGACUUGGAUACUAACCUGCGUGGGCUAGUCCGAGUCGAGGUCGAGUCCAAGCUGUAGUCGAACUCGAUGCUGUUGACGUUGAAAUUUUGGAUUCUCUCAAUGGAAUUUUCCACUUCUUGAUGAAGAGGGUUUUCGUUCAGAUGCUUCUUCUCCAGCUUCUCGAUGAUGCAACGUUGGAAAUUUCCAAAGCCAUCAACGAUGCAGAGCAAGGAGCCGAAGAUGAAAGUUGCGCCCACCUCGAAAGCAAAUGCAGGUUUGAUGAUGGUUGGUGCCAUCGAUCUCGCGCGGAGAAAUUCGGCGACUCCCCCUACCUGGCAUGCCAGCUGUCGGUGUUUUAUACCGGUAACCCGCCUAGGGAGUACCUGAGGUGGUGUUUCGUGCGGUGGGUGUCGCCGAGAAUCAAGGAGUCGAUGGUGACACAGGAACACGAUUUACACAGGUUCAGGCCGCUAGAUCGCGUAAUACCCUACAUCCUGUGUAUGGAUUGUAUUGAUGAGUUGUGUUGCUUGCAGGGGUUCCUUGCCCACCCUUAUAUAGUCGGGGGAGCAUGGUUACAGGGUAGGAGUCCUAGUCGAACACGGUCACAGAGUCCUACUCGGUGAAGUAGUUUCCUUGUGUAUUCCGACUAGUCUUCAGGAGUCCGUGUAGGCUACGUUACCCUGCAGCGCAGCCUCAUGUCCUAAUCACGUCCAAGUACGCCCCUUGAGUGGGCUAUACAAGGCCUACUCGUGGACCCAAGGAUGUAUGCCCGACAGGGCUAGCUGGGUCGAGCCCAAGGCUCGGCCCAGAGGGAAAGGAUUUGGCUCUAGAAAAAAAUAAGAAUAAAUUAUAGAAAAAGCUGGAAAAUUUUCUCAGAAGGGUCUGGACAUCAUAUAAACGCAUAUUAAAACCUUUUGCACUCAAAAAAUACUAAGAUGCAUUGGUCUGAAUACAACACACAGAGCAACACUAUUUAAUUUAAAAAACAACCAAUUAUUUUUCCUAUACUACAUUUCCUGUCAAGAAAAUAAAUGUUGGGAAAAUUUUAAAAUUAUGAUAAAAUCAUUGUUUAAUUGUUCUUUCUAAUCACAUCCUGAAAUCCAAAAAUUUCAGGGCGUGAUAGAUACGAUUCUCCUGCAAAACAGAAUUCCAAGACACGUUUAAUUUUAUAUUUAUAUAUCGUCACGGCAUGCAAUUUCUAUCCAUUUUUUGUUUGGUCAAGAUAGCAUGUGCUAAGCGACGUAGUUGGCUUUCUCCUCCUGCAUGGCCUCCGCUAGUUUGGUCCACUUUGUGCGGACAGUGAUCACCAGCAAUGAGCAGGCCUGGCAUGUCAGCCCACAUAUCAGCCCCACCCACAAACCCUGCAGAAAAAGAAUGUAAAUGCAGCAAUUAAGCUGGAACGUUGUCGUUGGCAAGAAAUUGAUUCACUUUAAUUUUUAAUUUUUACAAGUACCUUGGUGUGGAACUUGAAUUUGAAGGAGAAAAGGAUGGCCAGCGGCAUUCCGAUUAAGUAGAACGCCACAAGGUUGGUCAUGGCCCCCAUGUGCUGCCACCCACAGCCCCUCGACACGCCUGACAGGACGCCCUGUGCAGCGUCGAGCACAAUGGAGAUCAUCAUGAGCGGGGUGAUGGCCGCGAAUUCCGAGAUGAUCCUCGAGCUCCUACUGAAGAGGCUGGCCCAUAGGUUGUGGCCGAACGCCAGCAACAGGACGAAGGAGACGGCGAGGAACACUGAGAGCUUCAACGUCACGGAUACCGCAUUCUUCGCCUUGUCCACAUUCCCCGCACCGAUCUCGUUCGACACCCGUGUGCUGCACCAAACAUUAAUCCAUGACCCAUCAUGCGUGAAAUAAACACAAUGGUACAAGAACAACUGUGGCUGAGAAGGAAGAAGCAUAUGGAAUUCGUUCAGACAGAACCGGGCUGGCAUGUGAUGUAACGCACCUUACGGUGGCACUGAACCCAACUGUGAUCAUGCACGCAAUCGCCUCAGUGCUAACGCUGCACACAAUUUGCAGGCCAUGUACGUCAUCGUUGGGCUCACGUUGUUAGUUUAAUUUGCAUAUCUGAAGAUCAAAUAAAGACUAUCGUAAUAUAAAGGUAUUUACCAUAUGGCGAUCAGCGGCGUAGCCACGGUGGGAUGGGGAAGUAAACCAGCUAUGAGCACCAGGAGCUCGAACGCCCAUAACUCCAAGCUGCAGCCGGAAUGUCUCACCGGUCAUGAUUCAUGAAUGUCACUGGCACGAGGAACACGAUACUGUAUGUCACUGGCAAGAUGUACACUUACCAGACCAUGAUGGCAGAUGGCGUUGCGAGCUUCACGGUAGGCAACACGUACAUGAAGGCGUCGGCAGAAAACCCUCUCCAUGUUUCACAGAACUCCUUGGAGAUCAGCACAUAGGCGAACAGCAUCAGGCAGCAGACCCAAAACGUUGCUGAGACCGCCGCGGAAGCGCCCGCGAGCCCCAGGCCAAACACGUUCACCAGCAGGUGCGCCAGGGCGACAUGCAGGACGAACGGCACCACGGAGCAGACGACGAGCGGUAGUACCACGGACUGCGUCUGAAGGUAUCGGAGCAGGCAAUGCACGAAGGAAAACGCAAAGAGACCGGGUAUCUGGGCCUGCACAAAAAUCCCAGCAGCGUGGGACACUUCGGGGUCCUGCCGGAGGAGAAGCAGCAGCGGCUCCGUGAAGUACCAAAGCACGGAGAUAAGCAGGGAUGCGGCAGCAGACAUGAUGAACGACGACUGCAGGUACAGGCCCAGCAUGCGGUACAGCCGGGCGCCGUACGCCUUCCCACAAAGCGUCUCCAGGGCUCCGCUCAGGCCCAUCUGGAAAAUAGCAACGGUCACAUCAUUUCGAUCAAAAUAUAUGAUUUGUUUGUUGAUUCUACAAAAUUUCAUAGUGAUAUUUUAACACCAUUACAAGUACAUGUUUUCUUCAUUUUCUUGAUUUCUGAAAACCAUUUAUCAGUAUAUAUAUGAUUUUUUUCUACCAAAUUUGUGGUCGUAAUUAAUUAAACAUGUGAGUUUUUCUAUUUAGAAUUGUUUAGAGAGAGGAUGAGAGAGAGAAUAAAGGAUUGACAUAAUUAUGUUAGGUUUAAUGCUACUAGAAAUAUAUAUUAUUUGUUUUCAUAUGAAGGUUGUGCUUGCCUUCUCAAGAAAUAGCAUGUAGUGUGUGUGCGCUAAUAACUAUUUUUUUCAUAUAUCCUAAAGAUGAAGAAAACCGCGACGCGAAAGUGCAUUAGCGAUGGAUGCUUGCCAAUCUCUUCAUAUAACUGGGCGUAGUAAGCAUGUCUAGUGAUGAAUAUAUGUAAGACAUAUANNNNNNNNNNNNNNNNNNNNNNNNNNNNNNNNNNNNNNNNNNNNNNNNNNNNNNNNNNNNNNNNNNNNNNNNNNNNNNNNNNNNNNNNNNNNNNNNNNNNUGUCCCCAAGGCACACCUCCAUUCCUACGGGCCCAUAUAUAUUAUAUAUUCGUGUUUGCGUUUGUUAUGUAAUGAGAUGGGAAAUAUAAAUUUAUAAAUUGGCAACAAAUAACUAUAUAAAAAUGGGUAGAACCAUUUGAAUAUUCAAAAUAGUGCGUCUAUUCAAAAUAGUACAAAUUGAUUUGUGCAGCGGUUGGCUUAACAGAGUAGCGACACUUAUAGAGAGACACUUAUUCGUAUCAAUUUUGGCUUAACAGAGUAGCGACACUUGUAGAGAGACACUUAUUCGUAUCAGCUCAUUAGUGCUAGCCAUAAAAAAGCCGGCACGAAUAAGUUAUUCGUGCUGGUGUCUAAUAGAGCCUUAAUGGAUAAUCCACUAUCCGUGGAGCCGGCACGGAUAAUUCUUAUUUGUGAUGCACGGAUAGUCAUCUGGAUUAUUCGUUCCGGCUCGGGUAUGGACUUCAAAAAAUUCAAACUUUUACAUAUGGACUCAGAUUGCGACAAGCUUUAUAUGGAAGUGGUAUGUUUCAACAAGAUUUAAAACUUUGUAGUUUAACGAUUUUUAAUUUGAAAUCAUUUAGAUGCCCAAAGUUAUAACUUUAGCAUACCUUUUGCGUCCAUAUCAUUUGAAUUUUGUGUUUUAUUUGGAAAUUCAUAACUUUGUGAUAUGGACUAGCAUAAAGGCAUAUUUAUAUGAAAGUUAUAGAUUUCAACCUGAUCUACAACUUUGUAGGUGAAAGUUUUCAAUUUAAAGUUGUUCAUAUGUCAAAUAAUUUCAGCUCUUGUUUCCCCCUUUAUUCUCAUCCUUCUAAGUUGAAUUUUCUAUUGUGUUUGGAAAUUUGUAACUUCUGCAUAUGGUUUCAGAUGGAGAUGAACAUUACAUGGAACUUGUAGGCUUCGAUGAGAUCUACAACCUUGUAGUUAAAAGUUUUUUAUUUAAAUUCAUUUAUGUGCCAAAAUAAUAGAUAAAAGCUUUAGGCAACACGGGUCAAAAGGAAUAGAACUUUAUUAUGCGUGCAGAUAUCUAGCGUAGGUAGAGUGGUAGAGAUGUAUCGCGCGGGUCAAAAGGAAUAGAACUUUAUUAUGCGUGCAGAUAUCUAGCGUAGGUAGAGUGGUAGAGAUGUAUCGCGCGAGAUCGGAGGUUGUGAGUUCGAAAAUCGGACACUGCACGCGCAGAUAUUUCAGGGGUGACUUGGGACCGUGAGCUUAGCUCAGGGUGCCUCAUAAACAAUAUUUUUUUUGCUAUUUUCGUUUGUAAAUUGCUAUUUCUACUACCUGCGUCGGUGUGUUAUCCCACCGACAUGUAUAAUCCAUUAUUCGUGUCUGCUUCGACAUUGCCAUGAACAACCAACCUAAUUCGCAUAGAUGUCGUGGUGCCAGUCCCAUAACCGGUACGAAUGAGGUUUUCACGCCAGCACGAAUGAGUUCUGCAGUAGCGGUCAGGCAUUCACUAGCAUAUAUCGUCAUUUGUAUAGGUUGAAGGUUGCUGGCGCAAACUGGUUUUGAUUACCGUACACAAGUAGUUUCUACAGUUGUCGACAACAAGGUUCGGUGGAAGUUGUGGUACACAGUUUCCGUGGUUGUGCCAAGAGUCUGGUAAGGAGGUUCACAUGGUGGAGGAGUAGGGCGGGAAUCUCAACAAAAGAUAUGUUGGAUCUUAAGCUACUGUAACUCGAGGCAGAUCACAUUGUAAAGCUCUACUAGAGAAAAGGACACCUGUACUCAACGAACAUGUAUUUGGACCCAGCAUUAAUGCUAGGGUCUAAAUUUGAUCAUCCCGGGAAUCCUUUCCCAACCUGUAUUAAGAUCCUGUCUGGUUCCGAGCUCCUAAAAGUUUUAGCAGCCUUCUAAAAACUCCCAAAAGAGUGUUUAGGUCCACCUCCUAAAACUGACUAAAGGUAAUAAAUGCACUCGCAAAAGGACCAUGAUGCCCCUCCCCAUGCCCCUGUCCCUGGCCGCAGCUUGUCCAGCGACGUCGGCCUCCUCUUCCUCUCCGGCGACUCAGGGUUGAAAUGCGCCGCGCCGUGCCCGUGAUGCCGCGGCUCAUGUUCUUGAUUACAUUGACAAAGAAACCAGUCACGCACGUCACCAUACAUCGAGCACAAAAAUGGUGCCCAAGAACUCGGAGACAUCGAGGAGGCUAGAGGACCCUCUCUAUCCUGCCCAUCGCCCAGUAGCUAGGCACUCUGCUGGCACCAUCACCACCGCCACGAUGGAGGCCAGACAGUUCAUCGCAGACCUCUCGCCCACCCGCAAGCUCACCCCGGUGCCGUUGCUGCCUCCGCCGGGUCUAGGCGCGAAGGGGUGGCGGAUCUGGUUGGGGAGGGCGCAGAUCGGAGGGGGAGUGAGCAGGCGCUGACACCGAGGAGGAGCGGGAGGGCCACGGCGGGCCCGUGCGGUGGUGCAAGGGAGCGGGGGCGGCAGAUCUGGCGGGCGCCGACGUGAAGGAGGGAGGGAGCGGUGGCAGGGGUGACGGAUCCGGUGGCGCGAGGGGGCGGGGGCGGCGCGAGGGGGAGUGGAGGGAGGGAGCGACAACGGGGUUGUGGAGGGAGCAGGGGCGGGCCCGUGCGGCAGCAGCGGGCAGAAUGGCGGCAGGCUGCUAGGCGGGAGGGAGGGUGGGAGAGAGAGGGGGGACAGGGCAAUAAAGGAUGGGUAGUGGGGGUUCAGGAUGGAUUUUAGGUACUUUUAGGAGGAGGUGGAGCUCCUAAAGUUUUUGGCCCUUCCUAAAGUUUUUAGGAGCUUUUAGGAGGGGGGUGUUUGGUUCUUUAGGCAAAUUUUAUCCAGAUUUUAGCUCCUAAAGUUUUUAGAGGGGUACCCAAACAGGACCUAAACCUACCAUUUCAAACCAGUUGCUAUUACCAUCCUUUACUAAUGCUCCUCGAAACUAUUACCACUUGAUGUAACCAUCUGGUAAGUACCUGUUGAUGUAAUCAAUAGAACUAAAAGAUCCUCUAGAGAUGACAUUAAAAAAAGCAUUUCUUAUCCAGGGUUGUAAAUAUUUUUUUGAUAUUUUUUACCGACUAGUACUAAAGGUGACAGAUCUGAUAUUAAAGGUCGGAACUUUUCGUCUUGGUUUUUUUGUACCGUUUCAAAAUUCAAGAGUAAAGGAGGGUUUGGAACCAAUACAUAAGCCAUAAUCUCCAAUAAUAGUGAGACCAAUAUGCUCUCCAUGCAUAUGAUGGAUGUGGUGGUGGCAUUUGCAGGGACCGAUAUUACAAGGGUGGUGGUGCAGAGGCGGCAUGAUCAUGAGAGGUAGAUUGCUUGAAUAUAAUGUUACAUAGAGAUGCAUCGGUGGUGCGAUUGUGGAUUGCGUGGUGAUAGAGGAGAAUUGUUGCGGUGGAGGUCGAUCUUAUGGGCGCUAUCGCGGCGUUAGUUGUUUUGAUGGCUCAUGUCGUGAUGGCCGACGAAGUCCACAAUGAACCUGAUGAGCAGGUUCAGGCACGCAAUGCCUAGAUGAAGCAGCUUGAUAAACUGGAUGUAUUGGUUUUUGUGUAAAUACUGCUAUGCUGUUGUUAAACUCAUAUUUUCAUAUGUGGAACAAUAGGUCAAAAAAAUUAUGCUACCCCAUCACACAAAUAUAGCUUUGUUCAGGUGAUCAUUUCCAUUCCUCCAGAGCUAAAGGUUCAUUCAGAAUUCGAUUACUUACAUUCCAAAAAUGCUAAACGCAGAGACUAAAUGGUGAGCAAUAAGCAAUUUAGUAGAAGGUAGGCUUUGUACGUACAACGAAGGCGUAGCCGGUGACGGUUGCCCAGGAGUUGCCGAGCGUGGCGCCGGCGAGGUGGACGUCGCCGAGGUGGCCGGAGAACAUCACCGACACCAGCGGAAUGCCGUAGUAGGCCAUGUUGGUGAGCACCAUCGGCACCGCGAAACGCAGCUGCGCCUGCGCCUCCUCCGUGUCAACUAUCCGGCCAAGCCAUGCUAACCAGCAUGGUAGCUGCUGCUCCCCUCCAACUUUGCCGGCGGCGAGGUCAUCGCCCUUGCAGCGGUCGCCGAGCAGCGGAGCCGACGACAUGUCGCUGGGUGACGUGGAGCUAUCGGCCGGGUAGACAGGUUCACCUCCUAGCUCGCUGAUAUUGGUAUAUAGGCUAUGGAUCAAGAAGUGCACCGUGGUUGUGUUGUGCAUUUCUAGCCGGAUGAACGUGGCGCAAAGUUGGUGGAUAGUGUGGAAUAUUUGAGAUCCGAUGGACGCAGAUUUUGUUAAUUUUUAAUUUGAAACAUUUAUGAAACUGGUCCAUGUUCAUUUAUGUCGAUUUGUGUGCGUUUGGUCUGCUGGCCAGCUAGAGCAGGUCAUUCUCACCCUUCCAUUGACCAGCAUCUCGAUCGAUCUUCUCACGUGCCUCGCAGCCAUCGCCGGUGGUUGACAGGAUUAUGGUGUCCUUAAUUAAUUGUUGUAAGUCGAUAAUCUUAAAAGAAAUAUGAAGUUGGCUGAGCUAUGUUGUUCUUGUAUACUACUCGCAAAGGAAGUCGUUUUAGACAAGGCUUGGGUCAAACAUUGGAAAUAUAAAUCAUGAAUAACUUUUAAGUUGUUGAGUUUGGAAAUGUAAAAGUCAUAUAUAUAGAUUUGUCUUGAAAAAUGCUUUCAUUAAAAUAUACAUAUAUCACUUUUUGAUAAAUAUUUUUAUAAAAAUAAAGAGUCAAAGUAAUACUUUGGAGACCGUGUUGCUGUUCAAAACGACUUCCUUUGUGAGUAUGGACGGAGUACUCACUAUGUAGAAAAUAAUAUCAUUUUGAGACAGAUUUUUAUAUAUAAGUAUAUAACGUCAGUAAAAUUUAGAGUACUUAGGCAUCUUGUAAUGUUUACAAUUAUCCGUAAGAGAUGGCAAACUGAGAUGAGACGACAUGUGGCACAAUGUGUUUACAGGGAUGGAUGAGUGAUUAAUUAGAUUUAAUUCGACCGAUAUCAUAAAAUAUUUGUUAAUUAUAAAGUACUUUCUCCGUUUCAAAUUGUAGGUUGUUUUGAAUUUUUUAGAUUCAUAGAUAUUAUUAUAUAUCUAGACAUACACUAUAUCUAGGUAUAUAUAAAAAAAAUAUGCACCUAGAAAAUCCAAAAUGAUGUACACUUUAGGAUGGACGGAGUAGGUAAUUUUAUAGUGAUUAGUGAUAAUGCUAUGAUCAUGGAGCAAUCUUGUUUAAAUAACAUAUGUGGCCAAAAGGAAAUAAGAUACCAUGGGAAGUUGAGAUACAUGAAUAGGCAAAGCAAAAUUAUAGCGGAAUGAAAACACAUAAUUGACGGAUGGUGGACUGACAAAUUUGACGAUCUCAGGCGCAACGUUGACAGACAAUGCUCGAUUGUCUCCAUGAUAUUAAUGUAGUGCCACAUGGAGUUUUGGAUGAUGUGACACUAUAUUAAAUGAGAGGUAAAGAAAAAAGAACAAAUUAGAUCUCAUGCAAGAUAUUGUUCCAACAAGAAAUUUAAAGCACUACAAACUAUUGAAUUCUAUAUUGUGGGGGACUUGUGUCUCCAUGAUUAGUGAGGCUGAAAGAUGGUUGGUGAACUGAGCUACGCUCGGAUAGUAAGGUUCGUUAUGAUGAAACAUACCGAUCAAGGUUCAUGUUCUUGACUUGGUAAUGAUGCUUACGUUUUCUUGAAUUUAUUAUAGGAUUAACCGGCGUUGUUCCAUCCACAUCUACAUUUAUUUCGAAUACGAAUAUGAUUUUGGAUAAUAAAACACAAAUUUAAAUAUAUCCAUUUAAGAUACCACAUUAAAAAACACUAGAAACGAAUGCGGAUACGGAUGUCCAUAUAUCACAUUUUUAACGGAUACGAGCUAGCGGCUAGGCAACUUAAUUAUUACCAUCCAUGAGCUCCUUCAUUGUGUGUCACUGCACCAACCGACAGUAAUUUUGUACGUGGCUAUUACGGCGCGCCGCUUAAGAAACACGUGGUCCGAUGCACUUAUCUCGGCUGCAUUGAUACUGCAGCGUGACUUCCGCACGGAGUUACCCUAGUACAGUACUCCAUGUGCGCAGAAGAGCACAAAAAAGGGAGCAGCAUUUCAACUUUGGUUAGCUGACCAAAUAUAGGAUCCUAAUUCAACAGUUCUUGGUAUGCCAAAUGUUUUCCAAAAAGUAAAGGAAUUACAAAACUCCAGGGAUUCGUACGUCACUAGUCACUUCAACAUUGAAGUAACAAUACCGUAAAUAACGUGUCUAUAACAUGCAUGGCGCAGUCUUGCUGACAAAUUUAUGACCAAUAUUUGUUCAAAUUAAACUACGCGGGGGCAACAUUUGUCUAUCAUAAUAUAAUGUUUGGGAUGGUGUUCUUAAUGAACUUUUUUUUUCACUCCACAUGUUUUUUUUGUGAUAGGACCAUCUAAGACGUACCUAAUCUUCACGGACUCUCUUUGUUUUUUAUAAACAAAAUAUAUUAAUUACAUCAGGAGAUACAUUGUUUUAUAUUGAUCUCAAGCAAAAUACAAUGGUAUUCUAGAGAUUUCAAGGCGGAAGCAGGUUGUUGGUCGAGGUUGUUGGUCGAGUGUUAGUUUGCCUGACAUGUUGGGGAUCGCCCAAACAAAUAGUCACCCUCGAGCUUAUCGUGCUCAGCGACAACAGCUCAGCCCCUUAGGAUAAUUAACCUCAGGUGAGGCCUCCUAACCUUAGACGGUGAACCUGAUACGGAAAAGUAAUCUUAGUCUCGCUAUCCUAAGUUUUAACUCGAAGCCAGGAGGCAAUUACCAAUCCCCUGACUAGCCGAGUCUAACCUCGAGCACUCGAAGCUAACCACGAGUGCCAAGUUAUUCACUGUCUUGUGCAAAGUCGCUGGUUUAGAUUGGGAAGCAGGGCACGAGGUUGAGCGCCUCUCGGACGCGAAGCUAAGGCGAUUGGAACUCCCGAAGCUAGGAUGGCUUUGGUCGCGAGGUCAAGAAGCGUGGAGGCGUUGGAAACGUGAAGGCAUGAUUUGUGGAACCAUGUGAGAGCAUGAAUUACGGAAAAGGCGUGAGAAGCAUGAUCCUAAGAGGAGACCAAGUCAUACAAGUUAUGACCUAAAAAGAUCUCUAUGUAAAGUAUAUUCUAGAAAUGUAGUAGGUGAAUGAGGGUAAUUGUGGGAUGUAAAGUGUCCUCCGAGACACUAUAAAAGUGGAGCCCUACCCCGAUGUAAACUCAUGUUCAUUUCUUAGAAUUGAAUUGCAAGUGCUGCUUUAACAUCAUUGUGUUCGAACUUCGCUGAAACUUGUUUUCCAACAUCACAGAUCGAUUGGCCAAAGUUGCUCUGUAGGAACUGAAAACGUUGUCACGUGGUUUGGCUGCAACGCAUACGACGAAUCUGGGUGGUUCAUGGCCUCGAAUUCCACGUAAAAAGGUAUAAGAAAAAGAAAUGUAGUAUCCACGUAGAAGAGAUGAAUAGUAGAUGAGAAUAGAGACAGCGAUACAAAUUAUAAAAUAAUGUUGAACUGUGGGUUGGUAGGGUGACACCGCCAACGUCGAGAUUCACAAAACCAUUACUGACUCCGACAUUGAUUAUCGUGUAGUUUAGUAAAGAAUCCAUGCUCAGGCGGCCGCAUACCUGAAAAACGUAGCUGGAGCACUCCAUCGGACAAGCAAGUGCUUCACGAAGCAAAGCAAGCAGCCAUGGUGAGCAUGGAGAGCCGGAGCCUCCUCGCUGCUGCCCCAGCUCUGGCAGUCGCCAUCAUCUUCCUCUCUACCACCGCACCGCUGGCGCGCGCGGCAUCCGUCGAGCACACAUUUGUCGUAAGUUUGCACACAAAUCGUGAAUAGACUUUCACCAAAUUCGGGCACUAUAACACACUCGCUUAUGCUUGAUUUGUUGGAAAAUAUUGUAGGUGAAUCAGACGAAGAUGACGCGCCUGUGCAAGGAGACACUGGUCACCGUGGUGAACGGGCAGCUCCCAGGGCCGACCAUUGAGGUCACAGAAGGAGACUCGGUGACUGUUCAUGUCGUCAACAGGUCACCUUACAACAUUACGAUCCACUGGUAAGCGAUGAUGGCAUAAAAAUAAGUUCAUUUCCACGGCUAGAUUAUUUAGGCACUCAUUUGGGGAAAAAAAUCAUAUGUAAUCGUUAAUGAUAUAUUCCCUUCGUUGAUUUCCUGAACUACGUAGCCUUUCCUAAAUGUUUUGUCUUUAGAAACAGAGAUCGUACACUUUAUAUAAGGAAUCAUGCAUUUAGAUAGUAGCUACACACUAUCAAGUGAUAAAUAAAAUAUACAAUAAUGAAGUUGAUCUAGGAUAUAAUGCUGACAAAGUUCACGUUGGACUUUGUAGUAAGAUAGUAAAAAAUUUAUAAACACUUACACUAGGUCAGGUUUUGCAACCUUUUUUUAUACAAAAUUGCAGAAUUGUAAGAUCCAAAAGUUUGUAAUUGACAAAUGACAACCUUUUAAUAAGUGAAGCCAUUUAUACCUAUAUAUUACAAUCAUCCUGAUUUUUGAAAAAUAUGGAUCAAAAGGAAUAAAACUCUUAUUGCUAUCAACAAAAAAAAAAGAGGACCGCAUGUGACGGGUGGAUAUGGUUGUAGGUUUGAUUCCUGGGGACACGAACGUCUGUAUUUUGCAUGAACAAACACUUGAGUAGUGACGUGCACUCUGUGAGUAGUUCGGAGGUGGUCUGUGGUUCUAGAUUUGUUUAAUAACAUUUUGAUGCUCAUAUAUUUAUUUCAAUAAACAUUUUAUCUCUAAUGAUGGUUCAACCCUCGAGCAGUGAGAGAGAGAGGAAGUUAUCGGUGUUCAAAAUAAUUGGUUUAUGACUACUUAAAAAUCUUUCACUUCUAUGGAAACUGUGACAUAUGAGAAGAGUAGUGAACCAGGAGAGAUAACACUAGUGACAUCUACGACUGAAAAGUAAAGAACAACUCAACCAAACAGCAACUCGUAUGCUAACUGACCUUGACAGCAUUAAAAGAAGGACACUUCCGAUUAAACAUAUAAUGAGCUAGUACGAUCGACACCAGGUGACACUCGUGGCAGGCAACCGAUUUACAGGAUAUCGUAGGAGCUCAAUGUUGCCCGUUGUUGUUUAUUAUGUUAGGAAAGGAUUAGUUCCUAUAUAAUCUUUAUAUGGUGGUGUUGAUCCUUUUUUUUUUUCAAUUUGGACUCUUAUUUUUAUUUGAGGUGUCCAGAUUGACUUGUAUCUCACAGUUGAUCUUCACCAUCGCAAUCUGGAUCCGCUCGAUAAACUAUGUAGAUUUGACGCAUUUCUAAUGAUUAACUUGGUAAUUUAAAGCCCCUAUGAUUAAACUUUGAGCCACCAUUUUCAGUCAACUACAAAGACAACUGUGUUUUUCAAAAAACGUAAUAUUGUUAUUAUUAUCAUUUCUGAUUACAUAAAUGCAUUUUGUGGUUCCUGAUGCAGGCAUGGAGUAAAGCAGUUUCGGAACUGCUGGGCUGAUGGGGUGCCUAUGGUCACCCAAUACCCUAUCCAGCCGAACAAAGAUUUCACUUAUCGGUUCAAUGUCGUCGGGCAGGAAGGCACUCUGUGGUGGCAUGCUCAUGUCCCCGGCCUACGGGCAACCCUCCAUGGCGCAUUCAUCAUUCGGCCAAGGCUUGGGGCUGAGUCAUAUCCAUUUCCUAAGCCUCAUAAGGAGAUCCCAGUUAUUAUAGGUUUGUGUACCUUUCUGAUAUUGAUUGCUGAUCAUCUGAGAACAUAAACGAUUUUUAGGAGCAAUUUUUAAUUGGGACCCAUUUGAGGAGAACAAAAUGUGUCAAGUCCUCUGGGAAAUGAAUUAUGCAAUUUCGCCAUGCUUGUGCAACUACCUAGUAGAUGUGAAAUGAUCCUGACGAUUACAGGGGACUGGUGGGAGGAGGACCUUGCAGAGAUGGCCCGGAACAUGACGAAGGGCAUCUUUUUGUCUUAUGCUAGUGCCUCCACAGUCAAUGGCUUGGUCGGAGAUCUCUUCAAUUGCUCCGGUAAGCAGUUAUUUAAUUGAUGUACAGUAGCCCACUGGCUCUGUUUUAAUGUCAUUUAGUGCAUUUAAACAGCUGGUUUGACCGAUAAUUCGCUAGAAGAUGGGUGAUCGACUAUUUACAAUUGUGUUAGGUGAAAAAAUACCGAUAUAUCCUUUUCUUUGGCUCUGUUUUUAUUAUAGUUCAUCUUUCAGGUGUCACAAAAGAAGGAUAUGUUCUGGAUGUGGAGCCUGGCAAGACCUACCUGCUACGAAUAAUCAAUGCCGGCCUCUUCUCUGAGUUCUAUCUUAAGAUCGCUGGGCACAAGUUCACGGUGGUUGCUGCCGACGCUAACUACGUCAGCCCGUUCACCACAGAUGUCAUCGCAAUCGCAGCUGGCGAGACAGUGGAUGCCUUGCUGAUUGCCAAUGCAGCCCCUGGCAGGUACUACAUGGUCGCCCUACCCAAUCAGGCACCAUUGCCUGACACCCAAACUCCGGAGUACGCUACAAGGGGGAUGGUGCGGUAUAAGGUCAGCCACAGCACCUGCACUAGCUCAACGACAGUGAGCUCAUGCCAGGGUACAGAAGAAGAAGAAAAAGGAUAUCGAGGUACAUCUGGUGAUGCUCCAAUAGUGCCUAAGAUGCCUGACAUACAUGACACAAUUACAUCGUUCUACUUCCAUGGCAACCUGACCAGCCUGCACCACCAAGGGCAACUUCCAGUCCAGCAACAAGUCGAUGAGCGCCUCUUCAUCGUGCUUGGCCUCGGCACCAUCUGCAAGAAAGGCCAGUUCUGUAAGAGGGGUAGCAGUGACGAGGACCUCCUAGUGGCCACGAUGAACAAUGCUUCCUUCCAGCACCCCACAGCGAUACCAACACCACUACUAGAAGCGCACUACUACCACACCGGCCUCAUCAAUGCCACGACACAAGAGCUUCCGAAGGGGCCACCGAAAUUGUUCAACUUCACCGAUGAAGCCUUAAUCCCUUUUGGACCCAAAGAGAUGCAGCUAGAGCCAACUUACAAGGCGACGUUGGUCCGGAGGUUCCGACACGGUGCUGUGGUGGAAAUAGUCUUUCAGAGCACAGCGAUCCUACAGGGAGACUCCAAUCCAAUGCACCUACAUGGGCAUGACAUGAUUGUGCUUGCACAAGGCCUUGGCAACUAUGAUCCAGCGAAGGCCGUGGCCACGUACAACCUGGUUAAUCCACUAAUAAAGAACACUGUGCUUGUCCCAAAUCUUGGGUGGAUCGCCAUCCGAUUUGUCGCCAAUAAUCCAGGUGUGUAUAAGAUUUGAAUGCUAGUUUCAUGUUGGAAAAUAUUAUGUGGAAACCCCUAUCUUGGUUUAAUCGUGGAAAGCCCUAGUGAACCUCCCUUGAAUAUAUUUUUGUAUAGGUCGUCGAUUGUUGGAAAUAGUCUUGUGAACUUGUUUAUUUGAAGUUUAGAGAAAAUCUUGCUAAAAGGUAGAAGAUUGGACUUCACUAGCAGCAUAACAUUAUGUUUGUUCCAUUUAUUAUUUUAGACCAUGAAAGUCCUCAAGACGUUCAAGUUUGCUGUUGUUAAUUAUGCGUUAUAAGGCCUAAACUGUUGUAGGAAAGGAAAAUUCUGGAACAAAAGAUGUAAGCAUAUUUCAUUUAUUUAACCUUCCAGUCAAUACAUAUUUCUAGAGCCACAAAAACAAGUCUUAUGAUAAAAUAGCGCAAAAUUUUAUCAAUAAGAAAUCAUUCAUCUUCUAGAUUUUACUUCCUUCUAUCCCAAAUAUAAGCCUAUCAAGACUCGUGUUCUUCAAUUCAGGUUUGUAUUCCAAUGACCAUAUUGAAUAAUACUCAAUUAACAAAAUUAUUACGGUGCUUUGUUCAUUUAAGCUAAAAAAUUGAUAACUUUAGAAAGGGGUCGGAUAAAAUAGGAAAGUGGAAUCAAAAUUAUGUCUCAAAGUUGUUUGACUACUAUUUGGUGCAUUGUGAGAAUGACCACUUACAUUUAUACUUGGUAUCUGAAGGAGUCAAUUUUUUAAGCAUUCCACGAGACUUCAAUAUAAUUAUCCAGAGUUGUAUUCCUAGGAAAUUAUUCAAUAAAAUUUAUUAUAGUGUUUUUCCGAUUCGCACCCAUAUUUGUUUGUCUAAGUUGCCUGCCAAAGCACCUCUUGGCGUCAAAAACUAACUUAUUGUCUUUUAUGUUGUACAGGGGCAUGGUUCAUGCAUUGCCACUAUGAGUUUCAUCUAUCAAUGGGCAUGGCAGCAGUCUUUAUUGUAGAGGAUGGACCAACAAAUGACACGUCUCUCCCUCGACUGCCAGUGAAUUUUCCGACUAUUGGUCAAGACAUCAAUCUCAUGCCCAAUGACUUAUAUCUCAAAACUAUGAAAAGUUAAAACUAGUGCACAAAGGGAGUACCUGUGUAUGUAUGAAGACAACUCCUAUUACUUAUUUUGAAUAAAUGGUUAUGAAUAAUGGAUGUGCGUCAUGAGAUAAAUGUACAUAUAUUAUUAAUGUCAAACUUUUUUGAACUGAUAAAAUGUCAUGCACCUAACCAUUUGGAUUGAAAAGAUGUCGAACUAGUCAUGGUUGCAUCGCCACCCACACAAUACCUUAUCCAUGUCGGCCAAUCAGUACCGGUCGAAAACCAGAAGGGCCAUCUACAUUGGCUGAGCAACCAACCCGCACAGGGCUUGAAAACAAUGACCAGCUUCACUGCACAAUAUUUGUAUUAGCAUGAAGAAGCCUGGCACCGAUAAUAUCCGUCUCAUCCAUACAUGCUGAGCUUCCAUUAAUAUUAGCAUUGGCACAGACAUAUAUCAUCUCUCAAGAAGCCCCUGAUAUGUAAAAGCAUGUUGUUGGCGCUACAAUUUUACUGACCACAUGCCAAGCAUAUGCAAUUACUUGGAUUCAAUGUUGAAGCAUAGUUAUAUUUUUUUCACACGAUGUCGAGAAGGAGAAGACCGCAGGCACAAUUCAGUGAAUCAUGGUCAAGUAUUGUCGAGGAGGAGGAGAAGACCGCAGGCACUCAUUUGCUGAAGGAGUUACGUUUUGCAGGCAAUGCAGCAACUUAUUCGGAAGUUCAACACACUGAAUAGUAUUGUCUUCCUUGCAAACUCUUCCACAAGCUGGAGUGCUAACUUGCAUUCCAGGAGUGGGUGAACUUUCUAGAAAGACUGACAUUUUUUUCCGCAUGUUUGGUUCGGGAACCAUGCCCCCUAAGCCCUUUCAUGCAUACUUCUCCAAUAAGAGAAUCACUCCAAGAUGAAGGAACAUCUUGCUCGGCGUCCUCGGAAUUUUGGUGCAAAAAUAUUUGUAAUAUCUUCUGGUCAUGAGCUUCUCGUCAUUCAUGAUCAUCAAAAUAUUACCGUGGUCUGUAGGCUGUAAUGCUCCACGAUUGGUUCCCCGAAAGCUAUGAGUAGAGAUGGGUAGAAUACGGAAAUUCAUGACGCCAUGCACGAUCCAUAGUCCCAGGCCUUCCAAGCACUAAUGAGCAAACACUGAUUUAGAUCUAGUGGAAUGACAUCACGAAUCAUAACAUCACCGUGUCCACAUAAUGAAAACUUCACCUUCACCUUGUGUACGUAUAAACCACGGUUAUUUAACCAUGAAAUAUCUGGCCUCGUAUGAUGCAUCCGCGACAGUCCCAAAACAUUCACAAGACAUUCACUUGCAGCAUUGAUGACAGAGAAUUGAUCCACAAUCGUAGCACUUGUACCCGCAACAACUUCACAGCGAGUGUAGCACAUGGAAAGAUCAGGAUCCACGGUUGGAUCCUGCUCAUAAUUUCGCAAUGCAGUGCCCAGAAUCAUGGUAGCAAUCAUAAAAAAAAAUCUCAAAUAGUACAGUUAACAGCAGAUAUACCGUGAUCAACUUAGCAAAACUGAUACGACCUGAUAAGGACAUGCUUGCUGUGCACAGGAUCUGUCCCAAUCUUUGACGGUACUAAUCACUUACAGAAUUUAGUCUCAAUAGUAUGGCUGUCCAAUAUAUGCUCCCUUUCUAAAUUCAGUUGUCGUGAUUAUUUGCAGACUAGGAAUGGUGAUAGACUAAUCUGAAAAUACUAGCAAAACAGAUACUGCACAAGAUAUAGCUUCUUGUACAGAGCCAAAUAACUGGAAUAUGAACAACAGCAUUCAUAGCUAUCUUCUUUUAAAUCAGGCAACAGCUGGACACUCUUACAGCCACAAGAUGGAAAUCUCCACAGACACUACCGGAAACCUUAAAUUUGCCGAGUGUUUUUUUCGGACACUUGGCAAACAAGCUCUUUGCCGAGUGCCGGGCUAAGAACACUCGGCAAAAAAAACACUCGGCAAAUGAUGGAUUUGCCGAGUGUCAGAAAAAAAACACUCGGCAAAAAGUGGGUUUGCCGAGUGUCAAAAAAACACUCGGCAAAGAGUGUGAUUUGCCGAGUGUCAAAAAAAACACUCGGCAAAACAAUAAAUUUUUUUCCUCUUUCCACCUUGAAAUUUUUUCUACUACCCACAUACAACAUGUGGUACUCCAUGUUAAAGUUUGGUAUAUUUUUGAAUUUGUUUGCUAUAUUUAUUUAAUUAAUUGUAUUUCAAGAAAAUUUUUGGUAUAAGUCAAAUUUGAACUGCAAGUGAUUCAAAUUAUAGAAUAAAAUGAGUAGAAAAAUGACCAAUUUGAGACCUGACCCAAUUUUAAUUGCAUUUCAUGUUAUUGGCCCAAUUUGAGACCUGACCCAUGAAAUAAAAAGAAAUUUCGAACAUCUUGUUCAGGAAACACGACCACGAACGUGUGGCAGUGGUAUUUUUAAAUUGUAAAAAAAACAAGCAAAGUCUGAAAAUCAUGAGAUUUCUCAUGAUGUGAUGAUAUCAUACGUGGAGGCUAUGGAAAAAAUUGAGAAGGUUUUGCAUAUUUUGUCACGUACGAUGUUUACAAACCGACGCAUCUCAAAAGAAGAAUAGUAACGUUGAGAAGGAUUGGAUAAGAUUUGGAGUCAAAAUGACAGUCGAGUUUUGAUUUGACUACAAAACUUCUUGUAUAGUCAAUAGAGAAUAUACAUUAUUUCAUGUGAAUUUUUGGCAAUUUUUUGAAAUUGUUGGAUAAUUUUAUUUUUUUUAAAAUAGCUUUGCCGAGUGUCCUAGGUUAGACACUCGGCAAAGCAACCCUUUACCGAGUGUCACACCUAGGACACUUGGUGAUUUUUUUCCCACACCGCGCAGGACAUAAAGUCCCACCAACCAGCACCGCACCCGGCCCCUCAUCUUCAUAUGUUGUGGAUGGUAAUUCAUUAUUCUCAGGAAGAAUCUUCUUGACAAUGUUCAACAUCCCCUGAAAUGCCUUAUUGGACACACCAUUUUUUGCCUUCCAUUGCACAAAUUCUAGUGUCGUACCUAGUUUUUUAUGGCCCUACUGGUAACAUGGGUACAACAAUUUUUGGUGAUCAUCUAUCAUGCGCUGCAACUUUGCUGCUUCCUUCUCAGUUUCGCAAUCUCUGUGUGCAUCUCGUAUCACCUGACCAAGGUCAUCAGUAGAGCCAUUUUCUGCAAACUCAUCUUCAUCAGCCUCGCCCAUUGUAGUAUCUGCAAAAGCUUGGCCUGCAACCCAGUCCGGAAUGCUUUCAUCUUCCUCCUCCUCCUCGCCAUCUUCCAUUACAACCCCUCGUUGACCGUGCUUGGUCCAAACCAAAUAGUUAGGCAUGAAACCGUAUUUAAACAAGUGGCUGUGAAUAGUCCCCCAGGAAUAAUUUGAAUACUCCUUCUUGUUAUUGCAUUGGAAGCAUGGACAACAUACGAACCCAUUCUCUGGCUUGUUCGCUUUGGCCACUUCGAGAAAAUAAUGCAAGCCAUCAAUAAACACCUUGCUCCACCUGUCUGCAUUAUACAUCCAUUGCCGGUCCAUCUGCAUCGUAUUACGCAUGAAAAUGGAUUACACUUGACAAUGGAUUAUGCGUGAAAAUUGAUUAAAGAUCCAAACAACAUGAUACAAUACAACAACAUGAAGAUCCAAAUAUACAUAUUUAAAUUAAAGAUCCAAACAACAUGAUACAAUACAACAAGCCAUCCACUGGUUAUUAUCUAGGAGGACUUUAAGCAUCCUUGGGCGGUGAAGACGAAGGUUCCACUGACCCAGCCUCAUCCUUAGGUUUAUUUGUGCCGCCUGAACUGGUAGUACUAAGUGGACGUGAAACACCCGGGACUGAGGGUGGAGCAUAACGACCACCAAAAGGAGGUUCCUGACCCGAGGCAACAGCUUCUUCAUGACGGUGCUGCAAAUAACAAAACAUUGCUUUUUCCAACGCGCUCAUUUUCUUCGGCUUAUGCUGAGGGCCAACUAUGAUUUUCCCCUUGCCGAAAGAGGAACCACGACCACCCCCACCAUCACCACUUCCUCCAGUAGCAGAAGCUAUCUAUGUACAAAAACUAUUACCUUAACACUGCAUAAGUUGUUGAACUUGAAGACCGUGAUCAUCUCGUGAGCAUGUCCUCAACUGGACGGCACCGCACUUCGUCAUGAAAGAGGUUCGAUUCUACGGAAAAGGGGACACAGUCACGAUGUCUGUAUCCACUCAUUCUCGUAGAAUCGAACCUCCUUCUUGACAUACGUUGCUGCUCGGCGGAGAACAUCCUCUCAGAGAUGACCAUGGUAUGCAAGUUCAACAAGUAUGGAUUUGAAAAACCAUAUUGAAUUUGAUAAGUUCAACAAGUAGCAGAAACCAUCUAUGUACAAAAAUUAUUUCCUUAGCACUGCAGAAGUUGUUAAACUUGAAGACCGUCAUCAUCUCCCGAGCAUGUUCUCAACUGGGCGGCACUGCACUUCGUCAUGAAAGAGGUUCGAUGCUACGAAAAAGGGGACACGGUCACGAUGUCCGUAUCCACUCUUUCUCGUAGAAUCGAACCUCCUUCUUGACAUACGUUGCUGCUCGGCAGAGAACAUCCUCGCAGAGAUGAACACGGUAUGCAAGUUCAACAAGUAUGGAUUUGAAAAACCUUAUUUAAUUUGAUAAGAUAAACCGUCUAGACAAGGUAGCAUCAUUCUUAAACCACUGCAAGAAUACAUACUAUAUAUGACACAUCAAUCUCUCUUACAUUCUAGCUCAAAAUACCUCACCAUUUUCUACUUCAUCACAUUCUAGCAAUUAAUCUUUCCAUCUCCAAAGCAUAAAUCAAAGCAUAACAUGAGGAUGAAGUAGCAAACCUUCACAACACUUGUGUUGGCUGAGUAAAAUUCCCAUGAAAAUGAGGGAAAAAACUUCGGGCAGCACCUCCCUUGCUUUGUCACCACCGGAGAGUAGGUGAAGCUCAGCUCUCUGUCUAUGUGCUGGACUGGCUCGGGCUGGAGGAGGAAGAAAAGCCUCUGUCUUGGUAUAUAAUGGGAAUGAGUUUUUAUCCCGGUUAAAAACUCCAACCGAGAUAAAAAGGAACACCUUUUAUCCCGGUUGAAAGUUUAGUCCCGGUUGAAAGUUUAGUCCCAGUUGGAAGCUGCAACCGGGACUAAACUUUUUGUGCUGUAAUGAAAAAAAUAUGUUGUUUAUAUUUUGUAUAAUAAAUUUACAAAUAUUUAUAUUGUGAUCCUUGCAAACACUUCCACGAGAUCGAGUGCUAACUUGCAUUCUGAGGGUAGGAGAACUUUCUAGAAAAGCCGAUCUUUUUUCAGUAUGUUUGGUUCGGGUACCAUGCCCUCUAAGCCCUUACAUGCAUUCUUCUCUGGUAAUAGAAUCACUCCAAGAUGAAAGCACAUCUUGCUUGGUGUCCUAAAAAUUUUGGCCAAAGAUAUUUGUCAUCUUCGGGUCACCUACCAUUGAUGUAAUCUUCUAUUUCUUGACACAAGCUUCUCUUCGUCGGCGAUCAUGUGGUGUGCAGGCUGUAAUGCUGAAACAUUAGUCCCCCAAAAUAUAUGAGUAGCGGUGGGCAGAAUACGGAAGCUACAUCAUGAUGCCAUGCACGAUCCAUAGUCAAGGGCCUUCCAAGCAACAAUGUGCAAACACUGGUUUCAAAUGGAAUGACAUCACAAAUCACAAAAGCACAACUCCACACGGUGAAAACUUAAACUUCACGUCAUGUUUAAUCUUAAUACCUUGCUUAUUUCACUAUAAAGUAUAUGGCCUAUGAUUCAUCCGUGAUGGUCCCAAAACUUUCACAAGACAUUCAUUUGCUGCAUUGAUGGUAGAAAAUGGAUGCACAAUCGUAGCACAUGUACCCGCACCAACUUGACAGCGAGUGUAGAACAUAGAAAGAUUAUGAUCCAAGGUUGCAACCUGUUCAUAAUUUUGCAAUGCAUCCCAAUAAACCUCAUUGUAGCUAUCACCAAAUAAAAAAUCAGAAACAAUACAAUUACUGGCAUAUGUACCAUGAUCAACCUAUCAAAACUGAUUUGACCUAAUAAGGACAUCCUUAAUUAAAUCACCACGUGUCCACGGCAUCGGCGGAGCUACUGGGUAUGCCGGGUGGGCCCUGGCAUACCCUGGGACCCAUCACUUUACCGUGAGAAAUCAAGCUGCAAAAAAUGAUUCUCAGGCCCAGCAGACGAUGCAAGGCAAAUGAUGCUCAGGCCCAGCUUUUGGCCCCCCGCUGGUUGUGACUUGCUUGCGUGGAUACGACGUGCUGUGUGCGGACUGCUUGCUUUGCUUGUCUCUAGUACAAGAUUGGCCCACGAUUUGACGCAUCACACCACAUCUCGACGAUUACAACUUCUCCGCCCGCCAGGACUCCUCCUAUCCUCUCACGGCUCCGCCGCAGCGCCGCCGGCCACCGCACCAGGCCACCAGGGACAGCGCGUCUGCGCAAGUGCGCAACUGCGUGGGGGAUUUUAUGCCCGAAAACUUCUGAUGGUCCAUAAGGAAAACUUCUCAUCGUCCACAAACCACAAGGAGGUUUAAGAUGAAUCUAUCUUCUAUUUUUUUUCUUAUUUGAAAAGACAUAUAUUCUUAAAUAUUUUUAUUUAUUUAUGUAUGAGUGCUUUUUUUAUUUCAGUUCGUGAGUUUAUUGAACAGACCGUCAAUCCAUCAACAUUCUUAACUUAAUAUCGUGUGAGGUUGUGAUUUGUAAGUUUUCUAUCCGAAAAUUUAAAACAUGAUUCUAUCGUUACAUGUUUGUUUUGCUAUAAUGUCUAGUUAGUUAUUGUACUUACAUUACAUAGACAUUGUUUUUUCAGAACAGUUGGAUUAUGAAGAGAGGCGGAGAUAUUGCAUCUCUUUUUCAGAAACAUGCAGCAAAGAAGGCAACAGCUGCUUCAAACACUAUCCCAUCUCCAGUUGAAACUUUUGUGGAAGAACAGAAUCAGGAGCAUGAUAGAGUGGUAGUUGAAGAAAUCGCGGAUCCUGUGCCCUUGCCUCCGCCACUGCAACCACCCACAUCACAGCCGCCGGUUUAUGACAUCAAUCGCCUUCCACAUGAUCCAGGUGAAAGGCAGCCCAUUGAAAGUUAUCAUGUUAAUGAUCAAGAUGCAAUUCGAAGAGCAUAUAUUAUUAAAGGUCGAUUCAAACCUGUUAAUCAUGAUUUUCCAUCAAGAAAAAUUGGAGGUAGGGAUCGCCAAUUCAAUUAUGUAUGGAUGUAUAAUCAUGAGUGGCUUGAAUAUAAUAUCAAGAAGGAUUCUGCGUUUUGCUUUAUAUGCUACUUGUUCAAGAAGGGUGCUGGGUCAAAUACAUUUAUUGUUGGAGGAUGGAAUAAUUGGAAUAUACGAAACAAAGCACUUCUCAAACAUAGUGGUUCUAUGGCACACAAUGCAGCUCAGGAGAGAUACAUUAGUUUUAUAAAUCCCAAGGUAGCAAUUGAUUAUCACAUUGAGAAGUGGACUGAUGAGGAUCUUCGUCUUUAUAAGAAAAGGUUGACAUAUUCACUUAGAUGUAUCAAGUUUCUUUUGCAUCAAGGAUUGGCAUUUCGUGGACCUGAUGAAAAUGAAGAAUCUAGCAACAGAGGAAAUUUCAUUGAACUUUUGAAGUUUCUUGCAGGAAAUAGUGAUGAAGUGAACAAGUAUGUCUUGAAUAAUGCUCCAGGUAAUUGCACCUUAACUAGCCCAGAGAUACAAAAGCAAAUUAUUCAUUGUUGUGCCAUAGAAACUAGAAAGAAAAUAAUUGAAGAACUUGAUGAUGAGCCCUAUGCAAUUUUAGCUGAUGAGUCCAGUAACAUAUCACAUAAAGAACAACUAGCUCUUUGUUUACGUUAUGUUGAUAAACUUGGAAGGCCUUGUGAACACUUUAUUGGAGUUGUUCAUGUAGAUGAUACUACCUCUUUGUCACUUAAGGAAGCUAUUGAGGGUUUACUUGUUAGUCAUGGAUUGACUAUGACUCAAAUUAGUGGUCAAGGUUAUGAUGGGGCCAGUAAUAUGAAAGGAGAUAUUAAAGGGCUAAAAACAUUGAUUAUGCAAGAAUCACCUUGUGCGUAUUAUAUUCAUUGCUUUGCACAUCAACUCCAACUAGUUCUUGUUGCUGUUGCCAAGAGAAAUACUGAUUGUAAGAGCUUUUUUGAUCAAGUAUCUAUCUUAUUGAAUAUUAUUGGAGUUUCUUGCAAGCGUCAUGGUAUGCUUCGAACUGCUAGGCUUGAGAAUAUUAAGAAAGCACUUGAGUGUGGUGAACUUGAAUCAGGGAGUGGAUUAAAUCAAGAGAUGAGUUUGCCUAGGCCUGGUGAAACUAGAUGGGGCUCUCAUUACAAAACUAUAUGCAGCAUCAUUACAAUGUAUUCCUCAAUCCAUGAUGUGCUCAUUGAUCUUGGUGAUGAUAUUUCACAUAAGGAUAAUUGGACAAAGAUACAUUUUGUGCUUGGAGCAUUUGAAACUUUUGAGUUCAUUUUCUUUGUGCACUUAAUGUUUGUUAUUCUUGGAUACACAAAUGAGUUAUCAGAGUGUUUGCAGAGAAGGGAUCAAGAUAUUCUUAAUGCAAUCUCCCUUGUUAAUGUGGCAAAGAACAAAAUGCAACAGUUAAGGUCUGAUGGUUGGGACCACUUCCUUGAGAGGGUCACUUCUUUUUGCAUUAAACAUGAUGUUGAAGUUCCUGCUAUGGAUGGUGAUUAUGUGCCGUAUGGAAAAUCAGCAAGGUAUGCCCGUGCUCGAAACCAAACAAAUGAUGAUCAUUUUAGAAGAGAAGUAUAUAUUGGUGUUAUUGAUCAAAUUAGGCAAGAGCUUGAUAAUCGGUUUGAUGAGAUCAAUAUGGAGCUACUUUCGUGUAUGUCAGCCUUCAGUCCUUCCAAUUCAUUUGCUUCGUUUGAUGCACAGAAGGUACGCAGAUUGGCUGAAUUUUAUACUAAGGACUUCUCUAACAAUGAUUUGCUAAAACUUGAAUUACAACUUGAUAAUUAUAUUGAUGACAUGCGACGAGAUGAUAGCUUCAAGGGUCUAGACAGCAUCGUUGAUCUCUCAGUUAAACUUGUUCAAACACGGAGGCACAAAGUGUAUGAUAUGGUUUACUUGCUUCUCAAAUUGAUAUUGCUUUUACCAGUGGCAACAGCGAGUGUUGAAAGGGUAUUUUCUGCCAUGGUUAAAGUGAAAACAAAGUCAAGGAAUAAGCUAAGUGACAGUGUUUUGGAUGAUUGUCUAGUCACAUUCAUUGAGCGGGAUAUUUUCUUCCAAGUGAAUGAAGAAGAUAUAAUCAAGACAUUCAUGUCAUUCAAAAAGCGGCGGGUAAACAAAGGAGACAAGUAACAUUGUAAGUUUCUUUUAUGCUAUAUUUUGAACUAUUUAUAUUGUGAUUUGUUAUUGUUUCUAGCUUAAUCUUUGAAUUUAUCGAAUUGUAAAUGGUUUUAUCGAAUUGCAUAAAAAUUUUUUUUGGCAUACCCUAUGAUAAAAUUCUAGAUCCGCCGCUGGUUCACGGUUUUCUGGUUGCUCAGCUCAUAAGCAAUUGAUCAUGCUUGAUCAUUGUUGGGCCAUUGCAUGUCCAUUGGCAAUCUUGACAGAAAUAAUUGAGCUACCAAUAAUAGUGUUGCACGUGUCUGUAACGGGAUGUACGGCGCCUGACAAUAAUAGGGCACCAUCCUUUCGAUCUGACAGACAUAUUUGUGUUACAUUCCUAGUGUUUGUAGUAUUUUUAUUUUCCGCUCAUGUCUACUGAUAAUUUUGCUAUAUAUGGUGCCAUUCUAAGUGUCCUUUUGUGGUCAGCAACUCGAGCCCCUGCUGGCCACAUCAUAGCUUGUCUGCUGGCCUGGUGCGCGUGAACCACGAGGGGAGGACCACAGUGGGCGCUCAGACAAUGUGCAUUAAGUCUGAGCUAAGCUGCCUUCUUCCUCAUCUUGUUAGUGGCCGUUUGACCCGGGACUAAAGGUCCUUAGUCCCGGGUCUAAAAACAAUCGGGACUAAAAACGCUGGAUAGGAGGUCUCUUAACCUAUCAAAACUGAUUCGACCUAAUAUGGACAUCCUUAAAUCACCACGUGUCCAUGGUUUUCUGGUUGCUCAGCUCAUAAGCAAUUGAUCAUGCUUGAUCAUUGUUGCGCCAUGUCCAUUGGCAAUCUUGACAAAAAUAAUUGAGCUACCAAUAAUAGUGUUGCACGUGUCUGUAACGGGAUGUACGGCGCCUGACAAUAAUAGGGCACCGGAACCUGCAAUAUGUCUGGCCGGAAUAUGCAAUAAAAUCCUUUCGAUCUGACAGACAUAUUUGUGUCACAUUCCUAGUAUUCGUUGUAUUUUUAUUUUCUGCUCAUGUCUACUGAUUAUUUUGCUAUGGGGCCUGAUUGGUUUGUUGCCAAAUGUGCAUGCCAAAGUUUUGCCAAGCCAAAAGUUGAGCAAGAAACUUGCUAAUAUUUUAGUAAGAUAAGUGGGAGAGAUUGCUAAAUUUUGGUAACAAACCAAACAAUGGCCAAAAUAUUAGCUUGCCAAAUCCCUGGCAUGCCAAAAUUUUGGUAGUGAACCAAUCAGGUGCCAUUCUAAGAGUCCUUUUGUGGUCAGCAACUUGAGCCCCUGCUGGCCACAUCAUAGAUUCAUAGCUUGUCUGCUGGCCCGGUGCGCGUGAACCACGAGGGGAGGACCGCAGUGGGCGCUCAGACAAUGUACAUGAAGUCUGAGCUAAGCUGCCUUCUUCCUCAUCUCAUAAGCAGUUGAUGCAUGCCUUACAGUGACUGACAUGGCCCAAUGGCACCAAUCCUGCUAACACAAAAUAAUAUUUCAAUCAUUUUUGGGAAAAAGGAGGGUCCAAUUUUGACUCCAUAUGCAAAAGUUGCGCCUGUUUUAUCGAACACUAUGCAAGUUAUAUUAGGGUUUUUUGGGUGCAUGUUUCAAUUGACAACUAAAGAUUAUCUACAACCAAGGACUCCACUAGACUGGCAAAACGGAAGUGAAAUUUUGUAGUUGAAAACCUUUUUCAUUAAAUUGAAGUCGUUUGUAUAUGUAAAUUGUGACAAAAUGUUCUGGACGGUAAUGGUUAAAAGGAAGCCAAGCAUGGGUGUAGUGGCCUGGCUAGAGGGCAUCACGCAUAGGUUUGAGGUUGGAGGUUUGAAAGACAAUCAAAACACUUGUGUUAAUGGCACCGCAAAAAUGGUUGAGGCAAGGGGUUGCAAACGAACCGACUGUACAGUCGGAUCACAAAACGUUAGUACAAAUUGUACAGAUGCUUGCUUAAAGUCGGUUCACAAACCUUCAGUAUAAAUAGUUCUGUAAUAGUGAUUUGUAGUUGUAAUAUAUCACAGGCCGAAACAUGCAGAUACAGGCAUCCCAGGACAUGCAACGAAAAGGAGAAAACAAGUGAUCAUUUUAUUGGUGUUUUAAACCGUCAUGUAACUCAUGUUUACUUUUGUUACAAGAAAUAGAAAUGCACAAAGACAUUUCUAUAAUACUAUUACUUUGCUACGUGGAAUUGGAACUUUGUAUCUGUGUCGUGGUUAGCGUCACGGUGCGGCAGAGGUAUCUCUGGAGCUGCCGAGCUAGUGCUGGUAGGAAUCUGUGUCGUUGUGGCCUUGUGGCCUUGUGGCAUGGUAGGUGCUCAGCAAUUAAUCGCACGUAUUGAAAACGUGUCUGUGGUCCUAUUGCUCAGCUCACCAAGCUCAUAUAAUGUCUUACACAGCAACGCACAGCAGCCAUGGCGAGCAUGGAGAGCCGAAGCCUCCCCAGGGCAGCAGCCACCUCAAUGGCGCAAGCUAUCGCCAUUGUCUUCCUGAUCUCAACUGUUGUCCAAGAACUUAAUAAUAUAACACCUAUGUCAAAGUUUUCAAGCAUGGCCACAAGCUCGCGCAGGCAGACCUAAUUACCAUUCCGAGGCAGUCUCAACUGUUGGCUCAAGAUCUGACGAUUGCUGCCAUUCCAAUUUCGAUUAAAAACACGUAGUGAUGACAGCUCACUGGAACCCUAACUUCACCCCUUAGGCCCUAAUUUCACUUUCCCCCUCACGUCUCCUCCUUCCUGUCUCUUUAUGUUAAUUUUUAUACUCGAAAAAUGUGAGAUUGAACUAACUGUAUCUCUAGACAUUAUGUAAAAAAAUAUGAAAAUAUCAACAAUAUAGUUUCGACAACCAUUCAUAAAUUAAAUAUUAAUAAUAUGAAAUCGGCAUGCAUGGUGUCGGGUCCAUGGUGUGCUAUCCGUGUGUUAGGCGGAGUGAGACUGAGAGAUGAUGGAGAAAGUAGAGGCCUAGUACACGUCAGUUAUUUUCUGUUACUUUCUUAAUGUUCUUUUUGUGGUUAGGCAUCUGACUGGCACAUCAUAAGUUUGUCCUGGGCUGCUCAGCUCACAUGCAAUUGAUGCUUGACAGUGACUGUCAAAACUAGUGUUGCUCGAUUUGACGGCUUAUACAUGGAUGCCUGACAAUCACAAUGAAACCUCCAUGUUCAAACACAAUCACAAUGCAAAUGCCUGCCCUUGGAUCCGACUGAUACAUUUGUGUACUGACCACUGCUGGCAACAUCAUAGCUUGUCUGCUGGCCUGGUGCGCGUCAACCACGAGGGCAGGACCAGUGACCUGGCAAGGUGAGGUGGGUCGCUCAGACAUGGUGCUUUAAGUCUGAGGUGACUCUGCUUUAUUCGUCUUUCUUUCAACAGUGUUCAACAUCCAUCGAUCAUGAUUUGUGAAGUACCUGGAUUUAUUACUUAAUAUAGCAUUUCUCAUCUAACAUUGCACAAAGACCUUCAUGAAUUCUUGAUUGCUUUUUGGAACGCGGAAAGCACAAUCGUUAUUUUCCUUUAUAAGUUCAUUAAAUGGCCAUGAACCACGAUACAUUCAUAGCUUUUACCGUGUUGGCAAUUUAUAACUAAACAUGGUCUACAAACAAGGACUCCCCUAGACCAGCAAAACGGAAGAGGAAUUUUGUAGUUGACAACCUUUUUCAAUAAUUUUAGAAUAUCUUCAUUUAUUUAUCAAUUCUAGUUUUACUAUCCGGACCAGUUUGUGUAAACGCCAGCACGGGUGCUAAUUAUAUGCGUCGGCUUCAUUAUGUUGGUAUGAUAACCGAUACAGAUGACAUUUUAGCGGUACGGAUGAGGUGCUCUCUAGUUGUAAUAAUCAACUCUUAAAAAUAUAACUUAGAAACUCGUCUUGGUCACUCGUGCUGCUUUGCAAGUUAAGCACUUUGAGUGCUAUAGUUCUUUUUAACAUGUCUACAUUGAUGGAUCGAGUGCCAUGAUUCUUUUGUGUUUACUUUGAAAAGAAGAAGAUGGCUUAGAUUCUGCAUUCAGAGUUUGAACCUACAAGUGUCAAGGGGCCAUACAUUCCUGAUUUCCUGUGUGCAUUGUUGGCUGUUGUUUGCCACUAAUAUAAUACAGACACCGUCGUACUUUCUAUUGGAUGUGGAUGUCCUAUUUUUCUGAUUCUAAUGCUUGUGCAUUUAUUAAGGAUCUAGAAACAAAAUUGACAGCGCGGCUUUCAGUUAAAAUAAUAUAAGUAAUUAGGAGUAAUGUGAUCAAUUCUCACAACUAAUAAUAAUAAUGUGUCUGAUUUUUUUCAAAAAAAAACUUAUUUGGGAACAGUGGGAUCGAGUACUCUUUUUUAGGUGCAUUUAAACUUACUUAUGCUAUUGGAUCAGGGGCGCCGGACACCACUGAAGUAUCACUAAUUAGCUAGUUCACCACGCUCCAAACCAAAAUGGAUUGAGAAAUUAAAAUGGAGCCGGAGGAGCAGUGCCUCGGAAUCGUAUCUCUUCGGCAAGCCAGGGGACAGGCUCUGGUGACGGGGCGCGUUGUAAAAGCCGCUCUUUUUGUCCGGUUCGACCUGUUCUGAAUCUAUUGCUCGAUUUGAGGGCCUAUACAUGUGCAAUGCAACAAUGGUGUUACAUCUCCAUACUCAUCUACCUAAUAGGGCACCGGCACAUGCAAUGCAAGUUCCUGCAUGCCUGCCCAUCGAUCCGACAGAGAGAUUGGUGUUAAUUAGAAUCAUAUUCGUCACUGACCAAAAUUUCCAGAUAACCAAGUCUAAUCAGUUACUGUAUAUGAUACUUUCAUGCUCAUGCCUACUGACCAUCUUACAAGUACUAUAUAUGAGUGUCCUUUUGUGGUCAGGCACUGCUGCGCGUGAACCACGAGUGGACGCCCAAUCAAAGUAACUGUGUCGUUGCGUGAGAUGCCUCCUCUCCUUGCCUCUUAAUUAUUAAGCCAUGUCCAACAACGACAACAACAAUGAUAAUAAUAAGGAACUGAGGUGAGACAGCUAUAUGCAUAAAUAUAAUUCAACAUAUGGACAAACAACAGAAUAUCUAAGACCUCCUAAUGAUCAGAGUUUUAUAUAUUUCGCUUUAUUUCAACAGUUAAACAUAAAUCGAAUAUGAUUCGUUGAGUAUCUACGAGCUUAGAACUUUUAUUAAGCGUUUAGGGCUAUGUUUGUUAGGAAUCCUUUUAUCAGUGAGUGCUGGUUGCUGAUUUGCUUCGAUCCAUGAAAAUAAGGAUAAAUUUGAAAAGAAAGCACAUAGGAAUCUUAGAGACUUUGUAGUGGGCAAUGCCUUCCAGUAGCUUCUCUUCUAAGCUAAAUUUGGCAUCAUAUGAACAAGUAGAAGCUUAGAUGGAUUAAGAGCUACAACUACAUACAAGAUGUUGAAGAAUACUCGAGUGUUUUUUCAUUGCGAAUGACCAUAAACGUUCUCUUCCUCUAGAAAUUUCUUCCAUAGAAAGAGUUUACAAAGAGACGAGCUGUGCACGGAAGACUUUGGUGCUAGCUCAAAGACGGGGCAGCUUGCUGCCUGGACGCAGCCUCGCCAUUUUGAGAACUGGUGUUAAUUACAGAGUCCCGGUAUGGAUGAGACCAAAUAUCUAAGUUGCGAGCGAUAGCCCGGAGCGUUGCAUUUGUGUCAGCAUUAUACGAGCGGAAAACCACGUUGUUGCGGCUGUUCAAAAUUCUCCACAGCACGAUCAGAAGAACAUGAUUCCAAGCGCCUUCAGAAAGGUGUGGGGGCUGCCCGCAGCUCCAUGGGUCUGCCUUUCCCGCGCCAUCAUAGGUGAUCAUCAGAGUAUCCCAAAUUGAAGCAGCAGCAGGACACUCGAAGAAGAGAUGCAUAUCGCUGAUUCCACUACCGUACCGCGCAGCCGCGAGGACAAAAGGCUUCAUCUUCCUUCAGGAUGUUUAUGUAUAUAUGUAAAUUAUCACAAAAUGUUCUGGCCGGUAAUGGUUGAAAGGAAGCAAAGCAUAGGAGGAGUGGCUAGAGUGCAUCACGUAGAGGUAGGCCUGCUAAUUGGAUUGAAAUCCAACUCUAACCCACACCAAUCCACAUCACGUUAAUUUCUUUUUUCAACCUAACUCACCCCAUAUCUAUAUUAUCUAAACCCAAACCGUUGAUAAAACUCAUGGUUUUGCUAUAUAUAUAAACCUAUGGGCUUAUAUAAAAAACUCGUAUAUAUUUGAAAUAAACGUGAGUCCACCAUGUGGGUCCUACGUGAAGAGCUAGACUCUAAAACUAAAAUGUCGUAUUCACACCUUAAAAUUUUAGCGAAAUUGAUCGAAAUUUGUUGGAGAUGACAGAGUUUGACUGCACGCUACAUUAUGCUAAAUAGUAUGGCUAAACAUACAUAGAGAAAUGAGGAAUGAGGUUGCAGGUUUGAAAGGCAAUCAAAACACUUGUGUUAAUGUCACGGAAAAAACGGUUGAGUCCAGGGGUUGCAUCACAUAUCCACCUAGGACCCUUGUGGUUGCAUCACAAUCGCACGUGUUGAAGAACGUGUGUGUGGUCCUAUAUAUUCUCCUAGAGGCACUCAGUCACCGGGGACUUCUAUUGCUCAGCUCACCAAGCUCAUAUAAUACCUAGUAGCUCGAGCACAGCAACGCACGCAGCCAUGGCGAGCAUGGAGAGCCGAAGCCUCCCCAGGGCAGCAGCCACCUCCAUGGCGCUAGCUAUCGCCAUUGUCUUCCUGAUCUACACAACCGCACGACUGGGAGAUGCGGCAUCCGUUGAGCACACGUUCAUGGUAAGUACGCAUGAUCCUGUUUCAUUCCCUUUGAUCGACUUGUCAGGCGUUAAUCGGUUAUGGUGCAACGAUAUUUACAUUGUAUUAUAGGGUGUUUUUUAAGACAAGCAUAUGCAUCGAUAAACGGUUCUAGAAAAUUAUUUUCUAAAUUAAGAUAUGCGUAAUCAACAAAGGCGUACAUUAGUGGUCACGGGUAGAAAACUCACCUUUAGUCCCAGUUGGUAGGGAGCAAAUCUCCCGAAAAUCCAUCCAGGAUAAACCAAUCGAGACAAAAGGGGGGUCUUUUGUCCUGGGUCACUCAACCGGAACUAAAGACCCCCUUUUAUCCCGGUUGGUAAUACCAACCGGGAUAAAAAGGGUCGCCACGCCAGGCGCAGCUCCCAAAAAAAACAAAGAAAUCCCGGGGACCCCCACACGUGAUUUUUCACGCGAAAUAUGCGCGUGCGUGGUGCGUAGCUUCCUUGCCAUCCCACCUACACAACACAUCUAACUAUAUAGGGAAUGCAAUCCUUUUGUAUUAACUCGUGGGGUCCCAGGCUGGAAACAUCAACAGGGACUAAAGACCCCUUUUAUCCCGAUUGGUAUUACAAACCGGGAUAAAAGGGUUCGAGGGAUUUAGUCCUUGCCAUCCGUGGGGGACCAUUUUAUCCCGGUUGGAAACACCAAUCAUGGUAAAAGAUCCCCUUUUAUCCCAGUUGGUAUUACAAACCGGGUUGGUGUUUCAAACCGGGAUAAAAGGCCUUUCAGGGCCUUUUUUUUUCCACUAGCCUUUGCAACCGGGAUAAAAGGUCCCGGUUGGUGAGCCCCCGUCAGUGACCGAGCUUUAGUCUCGAUUCGUGAACCUUUUAUCCGGUGCCAACUUUAAACCGGGAUAAAAGAGGGUGCAUGGAAGGUGAGUUCUCUACUAGUGGAUUCCCUAUGAAUUCUUAACAAUUCAACCACGAUGUAGGUAUAUAUGUAUCCAUGCUUGAUUUCUUGGAACAUGCACAUAUAUCUGUAGGUGAGCCAGGUGAAGAUGACACACUUGUGCAAGGAGACACUGGUCACCGUGGUGAAUGGGCAGCUCCCAGGACCAGCGAUAGAGGUCACGGAGGGAGACUCGGUGACUGUUCAUGUCGUGAACAAGUCACCCUACAACAUAACAAUACACUGGUAAUCAGCUGAGUUCCUACUCAAUACAAUCACUUUUCUUCCCAAGGACACUAAAAAACCUAUUAAUGUACAUUCACUUUGCAGUGGAAAUAAAAUAAUAAGAUGCUUUCCAGUAAUUCAUCAAAAUAGAAUAUUUUAUUUUAUUUCAUCUUUCGCCAUCUUUUUCUUCUGUGUUGUCUGAUGUAGGCAUGGAGUGAAGCAGUGGCUUAACUGUUGGGCUGACGGGGUGCCGAUGAUUACCCAACUCCCUAUCCAGCCAAACCAAAAUUUCACCUACCGGUUCAACGUCAUCGGGCAGGAAGGCACCUUGUGGUGGCAUGCUCACGUCCCCUUCCUCCGGGCAUCACUGCAUGGCGCCCUCAUCAUCCGGCCAAGAAAUGGGGCGAGCUCAUAUCCAUUUCCAAAGCCAGACAGGGAGGUCCCAAUCAUAAUAGGUUCGUGAAUUAUCUACAUCAUAUUCACUAGCUGUGUUACGAGAACAGAACAAACUGCACCUGAUUUUUUAUUGGAAUCUGUUUGGAAAAGAGAGAAGAAUGGACUGUUCCUAUUUGAAUUGAACUGUCUUUGACUUUGGCAGCGGACUAUUGGCAGCUAGACCUUGCACAGGCGGCAAGGAGGAUGAUGCAUGGUUUCUUGUUUUCUUUCGCCAAUGCUUCCACGAUCAAUGGCAAGCUUGGAGAUAUCUUCAAUUGCUCUGGUAAGAAAUUACUUUCUUACAGCAUUGAUGUCCGUGCCAAU